RNAcentral lists this long non-coding RNA (63102 nucleotides) under Capsicum annuum. RNAcentral describes it as "long non-coding RNA (CANN_LNC004077)". Lineage: Eukaryota; Viridiplantae; Streptophyta; Magnoliopsida; Solanales; Solanaceae. The record is from RNAcentral.
CAACAUCAAGUUACUAACUAUGUGAAUGCUUGGAAAACUAAAAGUUACAGCUCCCUUCCCCAAUCCCGACGCACCUAAUCAAAGGUGGAUGUAGCUAAUAUUCAACUGUUCAACAUAUCCAAUAUUUUAUGUACCAAACCGAUAAUUGCAAGAGUAAAUUGUGUCUAGUGCAUAAUAUACAAACUUAGAAGGUUGAACCCAUCAAAGUUCAAAUGGUGGAUCAACCUCUGCCCCAAUUACCCAAAUGAGAAAAACUGCCCUAAAUGGUACAAACACAGCAAAAUUGAUAGGACAAAUAAACGAAAAAAGUAGCAAUGAGAUAGAUGGAUCAAGUUCAUCCAAGGAAGACGUACCGGGAUUUAGGGAAGUAACGUUGGGUGAAUUAUCCAUGAUUGUCAACUCCAGUUAACUGAAUAUUCCCAGGGAAACAAAUUAGUACUAUCAAUUUGCAGUUAGUCAGACAAUUGAGACAAACGUUAUACACAUCGAAUAAGUUGAUACACACUGAACAUGGAUAUCACCUAAGACGUCGACGAUGAUGUCACAAUUCUCCCCGCUCUAUUACUCCCACUGGAUAAUGACUGCCCAUUUGCGGGUCAAAUAUAAUUAUUAAUAAUUCUAAAGCAACAUCAUAGAAAAUAAUAUAGAAAUCACACUUUAUAAUUAAAAACUAUAAUGUUUAAUUUUUAUAAAAUUAAACAAUAGCUUUAGUUGUCAUAAUUAACAUUAAAAUAUUAUAUGUUUCAAUGCUUAUUGUCACAUCGGGUUAAGCACAUUCUUUUAAAUUAAAUAACUAAUGGAUUUUUUUUCUGCUUUAUUUGAAAAUUGUACAAGAAGAUAUAUUAAAAGUAUAUGUGUUAAUUUACAAACAAUUUUUAUAGAAUCAUGUGAAGUAAUAAAGAAUAUUUUUCAAUAUGUAAAUUGACUACAUUUAAAAUUGCUUUAUAGGUGUUCACCAAACGGAAUUAUCAUUCUUUACAAAAUGAUAAUGAAUUGAUUUUAUGUAUUCUAUAAGUUAAAAUUAGAAAACAGUAGAUUUUUUUUCAAAUUAAUUUGCAUACCUGAUGAGAAAAUAUACCACCUUAAAGAGGAUCAAAAGAAUUAACAAAAAUUAACAUUAUAUAUACUAUAGCAAUAUAAAUUGAGGUAGUUUUACAUAUUAUAUGAGCCAUUUAAAAUAAUUUUAACAGGUGAUUAGUAAAUAAUUAUAUCUCGAUAAAUUAUAUGUAUUGUAAAUUUUUGUAAUAAUAUGUAUUAUGUAAAAUUUUAAAAUUAUGGAGAAAUUACUGAUUAUGUUGAAUAGAUGAACACCUAUUCAAUAUUUAUGUGUCUUUUUUAUCAUUUACAAUAAUAUAGCAACACUAAUUUUAUGUAAUUAAAUGUGCAAUCAAAAUUUUUUUUUCUUUUUAUUUUUUUAUGGAUCCAUAUGUGAGUAUUUGCACAUCCUCUUACAUCUUAUGUCUCCCUCAAUUUUAAUUUACAUCGUUUAGUUUGAUUAGACAUCAAAUAUAACAAAUAUGAAAAAACUUUUCAAUGUUUUGAAGUUACCCUUAAAAUAAAUAAAUUCUUUAGUAGAAUUUUAUUUUGUGGACUUUUGGUUAAAAUAAAUGAAUUUUAAGUAAAAUUUGAUUUUGUGGAUAUUUUAUCAAAUAAAUGAAAUUCAACAUGAGUAAGGGGUUAGAAAAUAUUUGCUAAAUAAAAAAUAUAUCACUUUUAUGAACCUGACUGAAAGAAAAAAAGUUAAAGUUUGAUGCAUUGUGAGUGUACUAAAUAUUCUAUAUUAUCAUAUAAAUUAAAGAAUUACACCAAAUUUAUAUAAUUAAAAAUUUAGAAAAUAAAUAAAAAUAGAAUCCAAAGUUGUACUCUGACUAACAUAAUUAUUGUUUCCUUUUACAAAGUAAAUCAAAAUCUAUCAUUUUCAUGUUUCUCUCUCAAAAAAAUCAAUAAAAUAAUUCUUCAAACCUUAAAUGAUGCUAGAUUUGCAAGAAAUAAUUUCCAUGUUUAAAAUUCUUCACGCCUUAAAAUGCUACUACUAAAAUUGCAAGAAGUACUAGUUCUUUCAUGCUUCAAAUUAUAGUUUUUUUUCUUUUGGGUGGGGGAGGGGGGUAGGGGUGAUUUGCAACAAAAUUCAAUAUUUGUGAAAUAUUUUCAAACGAAUUUCAAUUUUUCCUUAUCUUUUUCUUAAAAAAUAAAUAGUUUAAAGACAUCCAAAAUUGCAAACAUCACAUAAAAAUCUGCACCAAAAUCUUAUAAUGAAUUGUGUGCCCUUCAAACUCAUUAAGGAAAGAAAAAUGUGGUGUAGACGGAUAACACAAACUUAAUGAAUAUAAUACAGGUGAUUUUAAUCCAAUACUUCGCGCCACCCCAAAAUGGUCCUGUAGUGGGUGAUCUGGAUUAGUUGGGGCUCCAAUGUAGAUAUCAAAGACCGGUAGGAAACCCAAAAAAAUAUAAUACAGUUGAGGCCGUCAAUAUUAAGUCUUUUCUUUUUGAUUGAGGCUGAAUUUUGGACAUUAAUUUAAAGGAAAAAAACAUAAAGUAGCAUACUUAAGUAUUAAAUUACAAAAAAAUAGCAACACUUUUAUCAAAUUACAUUUUGUAGCAUAUGUAUUUAUAUGUAUUUGUAUUUUUGUAGCAACAGUUUGCAAAAAUAUAAAAUACAUAUCGAUCAUAAGGAUAGUAAAAAUCAUAUGUAUUUGUAUUUUUGUAGCAACAGUUCGCAAAAAUACAAAUAGCAACAAUUUGCAAAAUAUAAAAUACAUAUCGAUCAUAAGGACAGUAAAAAUCAUAUAUAUUUGUAUUUUUGUAGCAACAGUUUGCAAAAAUACAAAUAGCAACAGUUUGCAAAAAUAUAAAAUACAUAUCGAUCAUAAGGACAGUAAAAAUCAUAUGUAUUUGUAUUUUUGUAACAACAGUUUGUAAAAAUAUAAAAUACAACUUGCUAUAUUAUGUAAUUAUGAAACUGUUGUUAUGAAACUCAUUAUUAAGGGGAUAAGUAUGCGGGAGAUUCUCAAAUAUAGACCCAAAUUAGGGUGGCUUUCAAAUUUUAGCCCUAAAUAAAAAAGUUUUGUUAAAAUAGCCUUAACUUGUUAAGUCGUAUUUUCUUGAACAAAAAUACCCUCUGCAGAAUAUUUGCCGUUAAACCUCUUUCCUUCAGCCAUUAAACCUUUUUCUUUCUCUAUUUCUUCAAAAUUUCAAAAUCGAUCUCCUGCCAAAAUACUCACUGUUAAAUCUCUUUCUUCCAAAUUUCAGAAUCGUCUUUCAAAUAUUCGGAGAAUCGACUUUACUAGUAAGGGUUCUUCAGGUAUGAAAUUCAUCACCAAAAUUCAUUGUGGUAAUUUUAGCUUAUUGAUGCAUUGUGGUAAUUUUAGCUCGUUAUAUAAUCAGCAUAUUGAUUUGAUUUUGGGGGAGGUAAACGUAAGCUGAAGUUUGGAUAUGUUGUUGUUGUAGUUAGGGGUGGCAAACGGGCGGAUUGGAUUGGAUUUGGACGGGUUAAAUAUGGAUCGAGCAAAAAUGGUUUGGAUUGCAAUCCGUCCAUAUAAAUAUAGGUAAAUAUGGAUUUGGUCAAAUAUGGAUUGGGUAAAAAUGGUUUCAACCCACUUUAACUCCCAAGUCAAAAAUUUAAAACUUCUAUGUCAUAUCAACUUGACUUUUUUUUCAUUUUUUUUUUUUAGUUUUUUCUUUUUAGUUUUUUUUGUCUCUCUUCUAUAUGUAGCCUCUAGUUUUUUUUUUGUCAUUUCAUUUUUCUCUCUCUUCUAUCUCUACCCUCUACCCUUUGUUUCUCUUUCUUUUUCUUUUUUUUCCUUUUCCUUUUUUAGUCUUUUUUUUUAUUAUUUUUUUGUUUUUACUUCUUUCUCAUUUUUUUCUUUUUUGGUUGUAUUUUAUGUUUUAUAUUUUUUUUUAUUCGAAAAACAUGGUUAAGUCGAGUACAAAUUAUGGAUAGGGACUAAAAUAUCGUAACCACUCAGUAUAUUUGUUUUCACAAUCAUCUUUUUUCUUUUUCCUUUUCUCCUUUUUUUCAUUAUUUUUUCUUUUUGAUUUUUUUUAUAUUUUUUUUCUUCAAUUCUUUCUUUACGCUUUUUUUCCUCUUCUAUUUCUAACUUCUACCUCUCUUUCUACUUUUUUUUUUUUUCUAUUUUUGGUUUCCUUUUUUUUUUUUUAUGAAAACAAAAAUACCAUAAGCGCAUAUUGAUUUAUAUUCGCCCAACAUUUAUAAUUCGGGGGCUAUGUGGAUCCUCAGCUAUAUAUAUUUUAGUCUCAAAAAAAUAUAAUUAAUUUAUUUUUUUCAUCCGGUGUCUAGUGCCUGCAUUGGAGCCCUGACUAAUGCGGAUCGGGCGUUGCAGGGCCCAUUAAGGUGGCAACGCUCCCAACGGAGUUUUCUCCAUAACCAGGGUCGUACCCUCGACCUCUGGUUAAGGGUGGAGCAGCCUCAUCCACUGCACCACAACCCAUGUUGAUUUUAAUUCAUAUACUUAUUUGUAUAUAAAUACAAAUGAUAAAUUGCACAUAUUGACAACUAAACAAUUCAAAUACAAAUGAUAAAUUGCACACAUUGACAACUAAACUAUUCAAAUACAAAUAAUAAAUUUCUUUGAAAUAUAUAGUAUGAUACAAAUAAAUUUAAAGUAAAAAAAUCUAAAAUGUAAUGACAAAAAAAAAAAAGAUGAGAAAAAUAAUAUAAAAAAAAAUGACAAAAAAGACGAACCAAGAAUGAAAAAGGGGGAAACGGAAAUACAAAAAAAAAGAAUGCAAAGAAAUAAAAUUGAAAAGAGAUAUGUUCGAGAAGAAAAACAAAAAUUAUUGUAGUUCAUGUGGAUUUANNNNNNNNNNNNNNNNNNNNNNNNNNNNNNNNNNNNNNNNNNNNNNNNNNNNNNNNNNNNNNNNNNNNNNNNNNNNNNNNNNNNNNNNNNNNNNNNNNNNNNNNNNNNNNNNNNNNNNNNNNNNNNNNNNNNNNNNNNNNNNNNNNNNNNNNNNNNNNNNNNNNNNNNNNNNNNNNNNNNNNNNNNNNNNNNNNNNNNNNNNNNNNNNNNNNNNNNNNNNNNNNNNNNNNNNNNNNNNNNNNNNNNNNNNNNNNNNNNNNNNNNNNNNNNNNNNNNNNNNNNNNNNNNNNNNNNAAAAAUAAAAAAAGAGAUGAAAAAAUGAGAAAGAAAAAAAUAAAUUAUAAGGAAUAAGUAAAAAAAUGAAAAAGAAAAAAAGUAAAUUAAAGAAAAAAAGUAAGAAAAAAAGAAGAAGAAGAAGAAGAAGAAGAAGAAGAAAAGAAACUAGAAAACAAAAAAACUGAAACUUUAAGCAUAGGUGGGUGAUCUCUAUGUUUAAAUGGCCCAUAUUUUACCCAUUUUGUCCAUAUUUGUAUGAGUUUUUAAAAUUAGUUGAAGUCCAUAUUUACCAAUUUGAAAUAUGAGUGAUCCAAUUCAUUAAAUAUGGGUUAAAUGGACUAUUUUCACAAAUAUGGGCUGAAAUUUCCACCCCUAGUUGUAGUAAUAUAUUUACCAUUGAGGAAUUGCGUUAAAUAGAUUGUGGGCAGUUUGUAUUUUAAUUGUGUGGAUUUACUGUUCGUUAUAUAAUUGUGUUUUAAUCCAAUGUACCUUUUCUCCCAUUACUUCUUGGAUUUGGGCUACAUCACUCGAAAUUCCAUGCAUAAUUUCACCAGUAUUCAGUUUUGUGUCAAAAAAUUCAAUGUCCUGUCGUAAAACAGCUCUUAGAUACUUAGUUCUUAUUUUGUGAGAUGAUCUUUCUCCGACCAAUCUCCAGCAAGUUGUCUCUGACAUUAUAAGAUGAUAAAGUGUCAACUAUCGUUGCUCUCUUUCAAACGUUAAAUCCAGACUAAGAUGAGGAUAAGAAAUGUCUAAAUUACCUAAGUAUGCUCUGAUCAUGACUAUCACGGAUAGUCCAGUCAUAAGCACACACACCUGAAGAUUGUAUCAACGGUUAGCAGUUACGUCAACUUUAGGAUAGUAGUUCAUGAAUUCAUCUCUUUUUACUGCUCGCGGUAUGAAAGGGUAAGGGGUUACUAACUGAGAGUUUUAGAAGCACACAAUAAAAGUCUAAGUAUAUAUUACCGCCCCCUCAUCCUUUAUUAUCUAGUCUUUGUCUUUGUCCAGAGCAAUUUUAUUUACGAAAUUACCAAAAAGAUAAGAAUACCAAGGAAACGAUCCUCCAUUUAUUAGAGCCCCAAUACAACUCAACAACAGUAGUACAAUAUCCAACUUGAUUGAGUAUUUGAACAAGCUUAGUAAUCCAACUUGCUUAGGAGCUGGCGUGUCAUCUUCUUCAUCAUGUAUUGCGUGGUUCUUGUAAGUAUCAUCGUACAAAUCAUUUCCAUAUAAAUGGAGAUUUGAUUGUCUAGAAUGUUGAACAUGGUGGCUCUGCUCCUCAUAAACAUGAUCAACACAAUCUGAUGUAUCAGUGUUAAAGUUAUGUACCAUCUGAUUGACGUGUCCAUAAUGACCUCUUACGAUGCCAUGAUUAUGUGUAUUUGAUCUGCAACGUUAAUUAAUAUGAUUAGAAAAUCUGUAUACAUGCAAAUUGAUGUUGUGAAACCAAUUUGACCUAUUGUGUUUGCUUAAGAAUAUAUAGUGAAGUAUUCAAAGUUUGCUCUCUAACAUCUGAAGCUUUUCGAUGAGAAGUUAUCACAAUUAAGCAUUUAUCAUAGCGUUUAGAUGCCUUAUGUUUGAGUCUAACUGCACUAAAAUACACGAGGUUUGAAUUACCCUGCUUAUACCCAAAGCCCUGAAUUUUUAUUGUAACAUGCUCUCCUCAAUAUUGCUCCACUUCUCAGUAAUAGUUAAUACAUCAUUCUCUUUCAAGGCCAUACUAUUAGAGUAUUAGUUGAUAAACUAUGUUGUAUCACUUGCAACAUAUCUCUGAAGUAAAAAACCCUCUCAGAAUCACCCCUAUAGUGUGUGUUAUUCAGUAGUUUCAAGUGCGAUUUUAGCAUCUUCAGAUUUUGCCAUACAUUUCAAGUUAUGCCCCAUGGGCAAUAGUUGACACUGUCUUAGUUUGUAAUGAUUUGGCAGAUGGCCUAUAACUCUUGCCCCCAGAGGCAAGACUGAGACAGUUAUGCCCCAUGGACAAAAGUUGACACUGUCAUAGUCUAUAAUGAUUUGAUAGAUGACCUAUAACUCUUACCCUAGAGGCAAGACUUUGACAGAAAUGCCUCAUGGACAAUAGUUGACUAUGCCUUACUCUUUAAUGAUUUUACUUGAUAAAGAUAUGUAUUCUAAAUUAAAUUGUUACUAAUCUUUUUUGUUUCAUUUUUCAUAAGGGUUGUGCUUGGAAUGGAUGAAAACGACAUGAGUAUUGAAAGUAUUGAUAGAAAUAAUGAGUUACAGGUUAUUAAACAAAUAUUGGAGGCUGAAAUAGCUGAGCCAUCCAAGAUUAAGAGGGUACGCCAAAAAAAGAAGAGGAUACUUGAUGUCGAGACUACUCUUUUGAAACACAAUGCCUCUUUGAAUGAGGUAAAAGUCAAGUCGAUCUUUAUUGACAAACAAAAUAUGAUAACGUGCAUGUCAAACAUUGCAAUUACACAUAAUAUCCAAUUUAAGGUUAUUAAAUCAAGCACAACAAGAUAUUCACUGCGAUGUUUGGACGACAACUGUGUGUGACGGUUUCAUGCCUCGAAGAUUCCCAAUUCCUUGCUCUUUCAGGUUACUAUAUAUGAAAAGGCUCACAGUUGCUCGGUUGAUUUCAUAACGUCCGACCAUAGGAAUGCAACAUCAAAGGUCAUUUGUGACUACAUACUAGAGCUUGUGCGUAACUCUAGUAAUGUAAUCACACUCAACUUCGUGGUAGAUGAAAUGAGAAGGAAAUGCAAAAUCAUCAUAUCCUACAACAAAGGAUGACGAGCGAUACAGCAUGCCUAUACGGUGAUAAGAGAAACCGCGGAAGAAAAUUAUAAUAGGUUGCCAUCGUAUCUUCACAUGAUGAAAUAGAACAAUCCAGUCACGUAGACAAACAUAAAGAGAAACGAUGAGAACAGGCACAAAUGCUAUACUGUUGAAAUUGACAACUUUUGCCCAAGAGGCAACAAUUUAUCCUUUAUUUGCACUGAUUAGAUUAUUAACAUAGAUGGAACUCUUGACUCAUGGGCAAGACUUGGUUUAGAAAAUUGUAGAAAUUAAAAACUUUUGCCCAAGAGGCAACAGUUUAUCCUUUAUUUGCACUGAUUAGAUUAUUAACAUAGAUGGAACUCUUGCCUCAUGGGCAAGACUUGGUUUAGAAAAUUGUUGUACAAAUGUUAUCCUGUUGAAGUUGAAAACUUUUGCCCAAGAGGUAAAAGUUUAUUCUUUAAUUGCACUGAUUAGAUUAUUAACAUAGAUGUAACUCUUGUCUCAUGGGCAAGAUUUAGUUUAGAAAAUUGUUGUACUCUGAUUAUAAACAUUAAAUGCAAAUUGUUACUAAUAUUCUUUUGCUCAACACAGGUUUCAAUAUGCAUUUAUUGCUUAUGGCGUUUCUAUCAUUGGAUGGGCCAACUAUAGACCGGUAAUAAUGGUAGAUGCAAUAUUUUUGAAGGCAAAAUAUCGUGGUGUCCUCAUGAUACAGUUUCAAAGGGCGGAAACAACAACAUAUUUCCUUUGGCUUUUGGAAUUGUAGACUUAGAAAAUAAUGAGUCUUAUAACUGGUUCUUCAAUCAGUUAAGACAUGCAAUUGGGGUACGUGAACAAUUGUCUAUUCUAUCAGAUCGUCACCUAGUCAUUUCAAAUGCAAUUGCAAAUAUCUAUCCAGAGUGUCAGCAUGGGAUAUGCAUCUAUCACAUGGAGAAGAAUUUAAGAAAAAGAUACUUCUCAGAUGUGGUUCUAUCACUCUUCUACAACGCAGCAACAAUAUACAAAUGAACUGAAUUUUAUACUUUCAUGGAUGAGAUAGAAAAAGUCAACAAAGUUGUUGUGGAGUACUUGAAAGAAGAAGAACCAGAAAGAUGGGCUCGUUCAUUUCAUACCAACAAAAGAUACAAUAUGCUUACGACUAACAACGUCGAGUCCAUGAAUGCGGUACUAAGAAAAGCCAGGCAACUGCCAAUACUGGGACUGAUCGAUUACAUUCAGAACAAGUUACAAAGUUGAUUUUAUGAAAGAAAAAUGGAAUUGCAAGGCAACUUUCAUGACAUCACACGUUGGGCGAAAGUGGAGGUGACUGACAAGAUUCAAGUCACAUUGAAAUUGAAAGUAAGUAUUGAAAUUGAAAGUAAGUAACUAAAAUUGUAUUUUGAUAAUAGGGAAAUAUACUGUUAUUGUUUUUUUAUUGCAGAUUAUACAUAGCUGGUUUACUGUUAUUUGUGAUUUAUUGCUAGUUUUUUUAUUUCCUUGAGAUUCGCGCGCGAAAUAUGCGUUUUGUUGCUUCUGCUCAUAGCUGCGUGAUAGUUUGUGAUUUGAUGUUGUAUGCUUAAUUAUAGCUGUUUUUUGGUUGCCUCAAGAUUCGUCCGCUAUGUAUGUUUAAUUUCUCUGUAUGGCUGAUUCUACUCAUAUACUAGAUGUUUCAUUAUCAUAGUUGAUUCUACUCCUAGAUUAGAUGCAAUAUCUGUUUUAUCACAGUUUAUUUGUAGUUGAUUCUCCUGCUCAUAUAUUGAAAGCAUCACUAUUGAAUCAACUACUAUUCCUAAGCAAGGUUCUGUCUUUUCCAUAUAAUACAGGGAAUUUGACUUUGAAAGCUCAUUUUUUGGAUGACAGAUCCUUCUCCUGCACUUUUCCUGACCAAGCCAAGCAUCAAAACUCUAACUAUCACCUAUAUUGGACCUUCUCUUCCAUUUUGAAAUAGAACCUUAAUUGUUACUCCUUAUUAUUGGUCACUUAUUAUUUGAUUUUCCAUUAGUUCAAUAUUAGAUUGUGAUUUGAUGUUAUAUGCUUGAUUGUAGCUAUUUUUUGGUUGCCUCAAGAUUCGCCCCCUAUGUAUGGUUGAUUGCUCUGUAUGCUCGAUUCUGCUCGUAUACUAGAUGUUUCACUAGAAGUCAUCAUUUAUUUAUAAUUUUAUUUACAGGUAAACCCCAUUGAUGCAACAAUAUUUGUUGUAAGAGAAGAAGGAGUUGAAUAUAUUAUAGACCUGAAGAGCAGGACUUGUCAAUGCUUGGUAUUUCAAACAGAUGAAAUACCAUCCACCCAUGCAAUUGCAGCGAUAGAGAGUAGACAUAUGAACAAGUCUAGCUAUUGUUCUCAUUGGUUCUCAAGACAGUCUUGGCUACAAACAUACCAGGGAGAAAUUCUACCAGUUGGAAGCACAACAUCAUGGAUUAUCCCCGAUAGCAUGAAGGAUCUGAUCAUAAAUCCCCCAGAUAAGGAUGUUCUGCUUGGGAGAAGACAAACAUCCAGAUAUCCUUGCAGAACAUAAUCUUCAAGAAACAAUUAUAGAUGUUCGAGAUACAAAAGGAUCGGACAUAACAGAUCAAAUUGUCACUAUACUCCUAUCCUUCAUCCAUAUGCAAAAAGAUACAGAAAGAAAAAUAAGAAAACAUGAUUAGUUUUACUUUUUAUCCGAGAAGUUGGAACAAAAUAGUAGUUAUAAUAGGAUUUUUUUUAUCCCUAUUUUAGUUAGUAACAAGUACUUUUGACUUUCAAUCACGAAUGUCUUUUUAUUUAUAUGAAUUUUUAACUCGUGGUGAAGUAUUUAACUCAAUACCUUCUUAUUGAUUGUUUAUAAAAAUUAUUUAGCAUGUUAAAUUUUUGUAUAUAUUAAUGUGUAAAAAUAUAUCAUAUUAAUAGGAUUCGGGGAAGGACUACACCCUCAAGAGAUGUGAUGUGAAUAAUUCCACGGGAUACACUUUAAAAUUUGCCUUGAAGGCAAGAUGCAGAACAAGUUGUGCCCCUUGGGCAAAAGUUGACACUACCUUAUUCUGGAAUGAUUCAGUAGAUGAUCUACAACACUUGACCUAGAGGCAAGACUUAAGCCCCAAAGAAACAAGUUAUGCCCUAUGGGCAAGAGUUGACACUAACUUAGCAUGUAAUAACUUGGUAGAUGAUCUGCAGCUUGUGCCCUAGAGGCAAAAAUUAAUACAACAAACGAACAAGUUAUGUCCCAUGGCCAAGCGUUGAUACUAGAUUAGUGUGUGAUAAUUUGGUGGAUAAUUUAUAAGUCUUGCCCAAGAGGCAAGAUUUUUAGACCCCAAAGGAACAAGUUAUGCCUCAUGGGCAAGAGUUGACACUAGCUUAUUCUGCAAUGAUUCUACAAAUAAUCUACAACACUUGCACUAGAGGCUAGACUUAGCCAUAAAAAACUACAAAAAAAAAAAGCACGGGGAAGUAUUCAAUUGCGAGUAGAAAAUAAAAUGAUACCAAUCAACAAAAUCAAGCAUCUAAACAAAUAAAUAAAAGUGGAGAACCAACUACUGAGGAUGAGGAGAUGACCCUUGGAUUACAAGGUCUAAACUGUUUCUUAUUUUAUGCCAUUUAAUCGAGGACAAAUGUGAUUGAAAAGUUCACAAUGAACAAAAUACUCAUAUAGCAGUCGCACAUAAUUAAUAAUAAGACAGGCCCCAUAGGAACAAGUUAUACCUCAUGGGCAUGAAUUGGCCCUGCCACAUUGUUUACUAAUUUAGAAGAUACUCAAUAACUCUUGCCUCAGGGGCGAGACUUGCCACAAGGGAAGGCAAAAAAUAUUCUUCGAUAAUAAAACAUAAGGUAUAACUACAAAGUUAAAAAUAGCUAAAAAUCCUUCAUUUGCAAUGAGUUUCAAUAACUACAAAACUAAACUACUACUCAUGGUGCGUCCUCUUCCUCUUUUCCUUUUCAAAUAAUCUACCAACUUUUUCUGUAGUGUUGUCUUUUAUACCAGCUUCUAGUUUUCUCUUUCCAUAAUCUCACAACAAAGCUCCAUACCUCAUGCGAACAUUUUGUUCCUGAAUUUCAUUCACCCCCUUGAAAUUUGCAAUGUCGACUCCUCGCCCGUCACAUAGUUUAUGUAAUCCCUGAAUAUGCUCCACAAUAGAAUCACACUUGGAUUCUAAAGACUAUAUAAAAAAAUUAAUAAUGUCAACAACACAAUCAACACAAUUAUUGAUAUAAUGAUGUUAUUUCUAUUGAGUAAUAAAUCUAAUGCGAAAAUUACCAUAAUACGACUCAUAAUCACCUCUAAAGAAGUAUCAAGAUGAGUCUUAAUAGAAGAUGUCACUCUCUGCAUGAAAAUUGCAAAAACAAAAAGAAAAGGAUUACUAAAGUAAGUUAGAAACUCAAUAUUGAAUUAUGAUUUAACAGUAAAAUAAUAAAGUCCACCCAGAUAACAUUUAUGCCGAGAUAACACGGAAAAUUAUUAUAAAGAGUAAUUCUCAUCUGCUUGAGCUAAACUAGAGUUCGAAACCAAAUUUUCUACUAAACCGUCAAUGUACCAGGAAGCAACAGGCUAAAACCUCCAGUUUCAAUAACUAACUAUACUCUCUAAAAGAAUGUGCGAAUAAACAUAUGCAGAACACGCACUGCUCAAAGAAACAAUUUGUGCAGAACUUAGUGGUUACCACCAAACAAAAAUUUGAAAUAAGUGCAGAUGGAGUAGACGAUAAAGAUUGGACCCAAGUUAAGAGUAGGAGAAGAUGCAUUUUUGUUGUACCGGGACAGCAGGACUUCAUGUACAUUGCAUAUAUAAUAACCCAACUCUUCAUUCAAUAUUAGUCAACGAACUAAGGCAGUUUGAGAGAAGUACUGCUUUUUUUUUUUUUAAGUUUAAAUCCAUCACCAAAACCGUUCUAACAUGUGGUAAUGAAAUGUUUGGCGAGACAAAAUGAGUACUUGCAACUUAAUUCAUACUUCAUAUAAACCAAUUAUACAUCUGUUAAGGAAAAAACUUGGCUUGAGUUAAUUGACUCAUGAUAUGUAAACUAGCUUGCAUAAAUGAAGAUGAUUGAAAUUUAGAUCAAACUAUUGCACGAAUUGAUAACAAAAUCAGCUUAUGUACGCUUGAGCUCUACAUCAAGAAAAAGGCGAGUAGAAAAAAUAAAGUCAAAAUCACAAUAGAUGAUUUUACUUACAAGAAUAUACGAAGUUGACCAUACAUUACUUUACUAUUUCAACAUGGUGGUGCCUAAUUCCCAACUCCGCUAUAACAAAAUCCAACAAUUAUUAUGAUGUACUAGGGUAAGAUAUCAAAAAGAACAUGUAUCACUUAUUUAACUCACUAGAAGGACAUGGAUUUGAGACCAACAUUCAAAACUUCCCAAUUCCACAUUACAAAAUAGUGUCUGGUCGAACUUCACAAAAAAUUCAUGACUUUAUUCUUGAAUUUUUUUUAACUAUAUAGGAUGAAGAAACCCCAAUUCUCUUAUUAGUAUACAGAUUGCAAUCCUAAACUCAGCAAAUUCGAACAGCGCCUAAGACAAUACGAAACUACUAUACUUAUACCAAUCUCGACUCCAAUGCACACAAUGGAAAACAUGCUAAAAACCUUUAGCAUUCAAAAAUACUAAAGUUACAAUCUUUGAUAAAGCAAUAGCAAACAUUAUCAAUAAAAAUAUGUUAAAUCCUAGUUCUCUUAUUAGUACAACAACAACAUUCCCGGUGAAAUCCCACAAGAGGGACUGUCGAGGGUAGAGUGUAUGCAGAUCUACUCCCUAUUUAAUAGAGAUAGAGAGGUUGCUUCCAAUCUUAUUAGUACACAUAUUACAAUCCUAAACUCGGCAAAUUCAAACAACACCAACGACAAUACAAAACGGUAGUACUUAUACCAAUCUCGACUCCAAUGCACACAAUGGAAAACAUGCUAAAAACCUUUAGCAUUCAAAAAACCUGUAGUUACAAUCUUUGACAAAGCAAGAGCAAACAUUAUCAAUAGAAAGAUGCUAAACCCCAGUUCUCUUAUUAGUACAACAACAACAUUUUCGGUGAAAUUCCACAAGUGGGACUGUCGAGGGUAGAGUGUAGGUAGAUCUAAUCCCUAUUUAAUAGAGAUAGAGAGGUUGUUUCUGAUCUUAUUAGUACAUAGAUUGUAAUCUUAAACUCAGCAAAUUCGAACAGUGCCAAAGACAAUACAAAACUGUAGUAUUUAUACCAAUCUCGGCUCCAAUGCACACAAUAGAAAACAUUUUAAAAACUUUUAGCAUUUAAAAAUCCUAAAGUUACAAUCUAUGACAAAGCAAUGGCAAAAAUUAUCUAUAAAACGCCGCUAAAUCACAGUUCUCUUAUUUUUACAACAACAACACUCCUAGUGAAGUCCCACAAGUAGGUUUGUCGAGGGUGAAGUGUACGUAGAUCUUAUCCCUACCUCAUCGAGAUAGAGAGGUUGUUUCUAAUGCACACAAUUGAAAACAUGCUCACUUCCUUUAGCAUUCUAAAACCCUAAAGUUAAAAUCUUAAAAAAUACAAGACCAAAACUAUGGCAUUUUAAGUAAAGUUAUAAUCUUUAACAAAACAAUAGCAAAAUAAUCAACAAAAACAACUUCCCCACACAACUAAAAGCCAAAAAAAAAAAAAGAUAUGUACAAAAACUUUCUAUUUAGUAACAUCUUCAAGAACCAUGUUAACAUAAACAUCAAAGCCUCUAAGUGUACCAACAAGCUCCUUAUCACCUUUCAUUAUAACCCAAAUCUUUGAACCAAUACAAUGAUCAAAACAAUAAAAAAUUCAUUGUAAUUCCACAAGUGCGGAAAUCAAAACAAAAAUGUGCAUUUCAUCAAAAGAAAUCUAACCAUCAUCUAAGAGACAAAAUAAAGAUAUCCACAUUGCAAAGGCCUAUUACAAGACCCCCAACUUGACACAAUAGAAAUUACAUAGUACUAGUAGAAAUUAUCAAAGAUCUCAAAUCUAGUAACACAAAACUAUUUUGGUUCAAUUGGCGAUAGCGUAUUACAAGAUGGGAAAUCGAACCCUCACCAAGAAGGUGAAAGUUUCGCCAACAACCAACUGAGCUGCUAGGUUUCCUGCUAGCAAAAAAUUCAGGUAAACCAACUAAGCUACUGAGAUUUCCCGAUAGCACAAAGUUCAAAUAGUCAAUCAACCGAACUACUAAGAUUUCUAGAAACAUAAAACUUUUGAUUUCAAUCAAGAUUUACUUUUUCCAUGAAAUCAAGAAUGUGGCAUUAUUCAAAAUUCACCUAGUAACACACAACUAACAAAAUUAAAACUUCUUAACUGUACAACCAUCAAUUUGACAAAUUCCUAAAUAUAACUCCCAAAAAUACAACAAAUUUAUAUUAUGAGUUAAAACCUUAAACGUAAACAACAGAAAGAGAUUUAAAUACCCAAUUCAAUAAUAAAAUGCACAAAAAAGAUUAAAUAAAUGUAAAUGACAAACUGAAUUUAGUAGCAACUUACAUCAACAAUGAUGCCAAUUAAAUCUGAAGACAAAAGUCUCGAAGAUUUGUGCUCUAUUUCUUCACCAGAAGCAACAUCCAUUUUUUUUGUUAAUCGAUUUUGAAAUUUUGAGAAAAAUCGGAUGAAGGGGAAGAGGAGCAACAGAAAGGGUUUUGAAAAUGAGGAAAUAAAAAGAUGAACGAGAAGUAAUAAUUGACGAAAAUUCUUGAAAAAAAAAGAGAAAUUUAAAAAAAUUUAAAUAAAAAUUAAAGAUAAAUAAAUUUUAAAAAGGGGAAAAAUGAAGAAAUAGAUAAUGGUUGAAAAAAAGGAAAAGAGAAAAAAAAUAAAGGUUGAGACAAAUAAAUUAAAAUAUGAAAAUAAAGUUAAAGGAAAAAAUAGAAAUUGAAAAUAAUAAAAAUCACAAUAAUAAAUUUAAAGGAAAAAAAAAAGAGUGAAAAAAAGUAGAAUAAUAAAAAUAAAGGAAAAAUUAAAAACUGAAAAUAACAAAAAAUAAAAUUUGAGAAAUAAAUGAGUAUGGAAAUGUUAAAAUAUAUUUGAGGUGUGGAGGGGCAAAAUGAUACUUUUUAAAAAGUAAGGAAGGCUAUUUUUCAAAGACAUUCUUAUUUGGGUCAAAUAUCUAAAGCCACCCAUAUUUUGGUCUAUGGCAUGCAAUUUCCGGUAAGUAUGUUAUUUUUGAAUUUUACCCUAAUUUAAAACUUACUGUUUCCAACAUAAUUUAAAUUCAUGGAAAAUAAUUUUAUUGAUAAACGCUGUGAGUAUAAAUCUGUUCCUCUCUUGAUUUUCUCUCGUGAUUUUAUUCAUAAUUCAAGGUCUGUCAGUAAGUAUUUCUCAAACGUAGGAUUUGAUAUGGAUUUCUCCGUAAUUCAAGGGCCUUUAGUGGCAUAUUUCUCGAAAGUAAGAAUAUUUGGAUUUGAUCUCCAUGAAAGGACAUUUUGUGGAUUUUCUUGAUGUAUUUGAUUAUCAAUAAGAAAGGGUUUGGAUCUAUAAAUAUCCCAUCGAGGCCUUUCAGUAGCGUAUUUCUCGAAUGUAGGAUUUGAUAUGAAUUUCUCCGUAAUUCGAGAGCCUUUAGUGACGUAUUUCUGAGAGGUUUUAUGGAUUUCAUAUUUGGAUUUGAUCUCCAUGAAAGAGGUUUUGUGGAUCUUCUUUGAUUAUCAAUAACAAAGAGUUUAGAUCUAUAAAUAUCCUAUGAAUUUAUUGGGAUUUUGAAGAUCGUUGAUCUCUUUGUGAAUAUCCCGUGAAUUUGUGGGAUACUGGAGAUGCAUCUUUUUACGAAUACCCAUGAAUUUAUGGGAUAUUCAACUGUUUCAGGGAAUAUGUUACCCUUUAAAUAUGCAGAAUUUAGGGUGUAGGUAGCCAUCAAGCUGGAUUUAGGAUAAAAUAAGUCCAAAAAAUUUUAAUAAAAAUUAAAUUCUUUUUGUAGAAUCCACAAAAUUUCGACUUACAAACUAAAUCUUGUUUUACUGCACAUGUGACAUUUUUUGUAUAGAAGAAUCUUAGAUGAUGUUACGGUGACAUUCACGAGCUGCCCAACUUUGUUUUCAAAAGGAAAAAGUGAUUGUGCUAUUUUUUAUUUACUGAGUUUAUACGUCUCUCUUUUAAUGCUUUCUUUUUUUGUCUGUAUUGUUUCUAUAGAGAAUUUUUUUAGAUACUUGAGAUGAAUUAUAAUACAGUUGCCAACAUUAUCAUCAAAUCUCGUAACCUGCAACAUCAAAAACUAUAUAACAUACAUCACAAAUGGACGAAAAAUCGAAAUUAACAUAAUAAACUGUGAUUUCCAAAUGUCAGUUUCCCAUAAUCUAACAAUCAAAGCUUGUUAAACGGUAACCAAAUAUACUCAUUCCUCGCAGAAUUGUAAGGAACAAAACUGCUCAAGAAUAUAUAUCUAACGGAUUGUUUUAAUGUUAACCCAAGUAUAAGAGACAUUUUUUGUCAUUUUGUCACUCGUACAAUAAGUAUCUAUCACAUUUGGAUCCAUAGAGAAGAAGGGAAAAUGACAUAUAACAAUAAAUCCAAAGUAUCUAUGGUUCAAUGAUUGUGAAUUUGGCUAGAGAAGUUAAUUUCUAGAGAAAAGUUUUACCAUGAAAAUCAGGUCCCAACAAAUCUAAAAGAGGCUGCAUGUGUAUAGACUGGAGACCUAAAUAAAAGACCCACUAUCUAAUAUUGUUUUUUUUUUUUUUAAGUAAAAGCAAAGGGUAUGGGGGACCAAUACAUGAACAUCAAGUACCUACACAUUAGAUCUACAAUAGCAUGGAUCCACUGUAUACCAAUUUCUAGCUGGAACAGAUGGAGACUCCUUAGCUCCUAUUUUCUACUAUUUUUUUUUUCACCUAACAUCAACAUCUAAUAAUUAUGACCAUAGCCCAUUUUCCAGCUAGGAAUUAAUGUUUUAGGAUGCGUUUGGUAUGACGGAAUUUUCCUAGAAAUUAAUUGAUUUUUCUUACUAUGAGAGCAAAGGUCGAAUGGGUGGGGUGGAGUGGGAGCGAGUGCAGGUACGUUGUGUGAAGAGAUAAUCAGUACGUACGUCACUUAUAAAAUUUGUCUUUUCCUAUUCUACUGAAGAAUACCAUUCUUUUUCUAGAGAAGACGCUUUUCAAAAUAUUUUACCAAUCAAAAAUGGAAAAAUCGGAAAACGUUUUACUCUACACCAAACACACCCUUAGUGGCAUUAGAUGUAACCAGGCUGACAGAAAUACAAACAAGAAUGACUGACAGAAUUGCAGUAAUUAAAUUAGGUACUAAGAAUAUUUGUUUUAUAUCGCAUGUUACUAUCUACAUAAGAAAAUUCUAUCUGGAAUUUCUAUUUGCCUCUGAAUGAUUUUUGCUCAUGAAAGUAGCAAAAAAAAACUUCAAGCAAGAGAGUAAUCAAGAAUCUUCAUCCAGACAGUACAGCUAUUUGUUAAAAAGACUUUAGGUAGAGAGAAUGAAAAAAAGAUGAGCAAUUUACAUGUCUACAUCCAAUUCCACCAGCCAAUAUCUUUGAUAUGAUUGCUGAAUCAAGGGGUUGGUGUAGUGCCAACCAGAUGUUACUCAUAUAUUUGGCAUUUAUCUGUUACUAUUAUUAGACUAAGAAGGCCUUACAUGGAGCGACAUGAACAGUGAGCAUUCAUAUUAGCCGACUAUAACUUGCUUGGGAUUGAGCCGGAAUUAUUGUCAGUUUUUGUUGUAUUUGGAUUUUGUUUAGAGGUGGGGUGGAGAAUCAGAAACAAAACUUUAGUUUCAUGGAUACACUUAUCUAAUUGAAGUGCAAAUAAUUGCACUUUGUACACAGUAUAAUGCUCAAAAACUGUAAUGGUGUAAAAAGUGUUGUAUUAUUCUUUCCUCCUAUAAUGAUAUACAAAUGAUUACAGAGUUGCAACAACUGGACACAAUAAGAUUAUCAAUGAAACCAAAAACAAAACAAGACCAAUUUUGACCAAUACAACAAGAACUUUGUCAUCAAGAUGCCUCCAUUCAGCAUUAUGCCAAUCCAUGCCAGAACAAGAUUCAAUUAAUAAAGCCUUCAACCUAUACCUUUUUCUUUCUUUUUCUCGACUCUGAUAAAUACUUUAAUCUCAUGUACAUUGUUCAUAAUCAUACUAUAAUCAAAUCAUUAUUUAUAGUACUAGGACGGUGAUUAGCAUCGAGUAGAUUCUCCAGUGACCUGGCUUUUCUAUUUCGAACCCUACCAGCUUCCUUUAGUAGCUCGGCCAACCUUUUCUUUUCGUCAUCAACAUCUGGAUUUGCUGUCCCUAGCUUUUCCUCUCUCACACCAACAAUGUAUUCCAGUAUUUGAAUAGCUUCAUCCAACCUGCAAAGAGCAUCAAGAUCAUCAUGUAGUUGGAAAAAGAGACGUGCAUUACAGAAUCAUGAUCGAUAACAAAGAACAGACUUUAUGUUGCCAAAUAAAAACUUCUUAGCAGAUGCUUGUUCCUAGCUAAACAAAACCUGCUUGAGUUGAUUGUUGAAAACUAUGAUAAAAAGUUCAUAUGAAUUUCAGAUGAAACAAAAUAAAUCUGCUGUUUUUAUUCUUAAGACUAUAACAAAUAACACUAGGUGUAUAACAAAGUAAAUAUGGUGCUACUACACAAGAAUUGCAAAGUUUGUAGAUACAGCAAUUAGCAUACCUGCCAACAGCGUCAUAUGUGCCAGCAAGGUUGCUGUAUACUCCCAACGUCUCAGGGUGAUAGGGUCCAUAUUCCUGCUCCAGAAUGCCUUUUGCUUCUUCAAACAACUCGACUGCCUCAUUUAUCGCAUAACGCUGUACACAAGCAAGCCCCAUUUGGUUAAGGGCGACCCCAAAGAAGGCUGACUUCUUCUCUCCACUCGCUCUGAGCUUUGAAAUGGCACUUUUAAAGGAGUUGUAAGAUUCAGAAUAUUUUCCUAACAUAUAAUAGAUCACCCCCAUUUGGGCUUCGAUUCCCGCUAUGGUAUUCUGCUGCCCAGGGGCAUUGUUAUAAAUCUUUAGCGCUUUCUGUAGCAACUUGAGUGCCUGAUCAAGCUCAUUCAUCGACUCGUAAAUAGCAGAAACAUCAGUAAGACCAUUAGCAAUCUCCUCUGGAGCAAUCCCAGGCAUGGGCUUCCCAUAUAUUCUGAGGGCAUUCUCACAGUAUGACUUUGAGUCCCUUAGCUUUCCCGUCCUGUUGUACAAGUCAGCCAGACGGACAAAAACAGAAGCCACGGCAGGAUGGUUUUCUCCUUUGCUAGAUUUGAGAGCUGUGAGUGCCUUUUGGUAAGCGAAAAUGGCCUCAUCAUACCUAUUCAGAGACAAAUAUGUGUCUCCAAUGCUACAAUCAACAGAUGCCACCUCGGAUUCCUGCCCAUUGGCUACCAUGGCCAUACUGGCCAGAACAAGAUGCUCGAGAGCAGCCUCAUGGUCUCCCUUAGACUCACAAAUUAGUCCCAUCAGCCUUCUGUCUGCUGCUUCCUCUAGUGAAGGUGGUGAACCAUUCUCUUUAUGUAUGUCAAGAGCCAUCUGACAAAGCUUUUCCGCUUCAUCAAACUGCAAAGCCUGAACAUGAGCCUCAGCAAGAUAUCGACAAGUCUCACCAACUCUGGGAUCACUAUCUCCCAACACUUGUCUUUGGAUUUCCAGACCGGUGGUAUAAGAAACAAUCGAGUUCUCAAGUUGGCCCAACAUUGCAUAAGUAUCGCCCAAUUGCAUAUAACCAGCAAAUUUGGCAAGAGCAUGGUCUUGUCCUUCUUCAACCACCGGAAUUUCCAAUGAGUGCUCUAUCAGUGGAAUGGCAUCAUCAUACUGGCCCAGAUUACAGUAUAUUGCUGCAGUUACAUGCAGACACAUGACCACAUCCAAACUAGGCUUUCCAUUGGCACAUUUCUCAAAUGACUUCGCUGCUCGAUGAGCCAAUUCAAGAGCUUUAUGAGAAUUAUCCCCAGAAGAUAUCAAGUCUCUUGCUUGCUUAAGCAAGAAGGGACCAAGGUCAGGAUUAUCUAAACCCGAAUCAGAUGAGUCCUCAUUUCCAUUCCUCAAUUUUGAUCCCGACGCAGGCGAACUCUUCUGCCUACUCCUUGGGAUACCAGCCACAACUGCCUUCUUAGAAUUAUUUUCAUUUUUCUUAUCAAGGGAUGACCUCCUACCCUUUGGAUUUGAUUUUGUUGGAGUUUCUGAUUCCAGCUCCAACUUAGAGGGCGUCUUGGGUUGCCCUGAAGAAGAGUCCUUCGUACUAGACAAUGGGGAAUUUUCCUUCUUAGAGCCAGAAUCACUACGAGAGUCACCACUCUCUGGCUUCUGCACCUCAUCAUCCUCCUCGAUUAUCUCCACUUCCCUCAUUUCUCCUCCAACAAGAUGCCGUAGCUCGGAGUCAAUCCUGGAUUCAUCACCAUCUGAACCAUAACUAGGCCUAGAUGGAGAUUGGUCAGAGCUCUGCAUCUCACACACAUUCUCAUAAAGCUCCUCAAUAGAAGGCUCAACCACCCCAUCAGCAACAUGCUCCACACCCCCCUUAGGAGACUCAUUCUCUUUACAUGGUGUAGAAUUUCCAUUUUCCUUCAAUUCUUUAAACUCGUCAACUUCAUGAAUUUCAUCCAUAACAACUCCAGGCAUCUUCAAGAAACACACAAAAACAAACAAGCACCACCACCAAUAAAUUAAAUAAAAUUACCUGCAAAUACAAAAUCUUUUUAGACCAAUUUAAAAGCAGAUCCAACCAGACACAUCAUGUUGACCUUUCUUUAAACCUUGACAAAAUUUUGAUCUUUUUGCACCCAAGAGCGUGGCCUAGUGAGAGAACCUGAGGUCCAGGUAUCCCGUGCACGUAAUCGAGGUGCACGAAAGCAGACCCGGACAGCACAGUUCUCGAGAAAAAGAACUGAUCUUUUUAACAGAUCUUAGCAUAUUGCUGCAGCAGAAUCAAGAAUGAACUAAAACAAACCACCUAAAAAGCAAAGGAACCCAAUAGUAAUACUACCAUAUAAAUGAAACAGAAAGUGAACAGAGCACAAGUUGACUAAUAACAGUAACAGAAAAAAAAAGUACAAAAAAUUAAAAACAAGAAAGAGUCGUACCUUACUAGAAAGAACCCAUUAGCAGUAAAGAUGAAGUGGCUGUUCAGAAAGUUAUAUAGACAGAAAAAUACAAAGUGUAAAAAGGAAAAAUAAAAAAUCUAAAUGCUAUUGGUGGGUCUGGUCUGGAAAUAGUGUUAGCUGAGGCCGGAAAAAGAUGGAAUUUUGGAAAUUAAAGAAAAAGAAUGAGGACAUACAUGGAUUAAUAUUAUCUAAGUAGAAAAAAAUGGAGGUUCUAGUGACACCGUUUAACUUUACACAAAAGCUUAAAAAAUAUUUUAAAAAAUUUUUAUGAUCAGAAAUAUUCAUCUAUUUAUUAUUAGUGUCAAAAGACGAAUUAGACAUUUUAAGUAAUAUUAUUUUGUGAUAAUCUGUUUUUUUCUUAAAUAUUAUUUUAUUAUUUCUUGUACUUCUAUUAUAUUUUUUUCUAGGUAACUUUUAUCUUGAUGAGGGUCUAUUGAAGAAGGCAAACACUCUAUUUUUUCUAUAUUUUAUUUUGUGAGAUAAUAUUGAAUAUGUUAUUAUUGUUAUCUGUUUUUAAUAAUAGAAUAACAAUAUUUUUUUUUAAUGCAUUAAAAAGAAAAAUAUGUCAAAUAAAUUGAGCUUUUAAAAAAUACUAAUAAUUAAAUAAACUAAAAGGUCAAUUAAAGUGGCAGAGGUGGAAUGUCAAGAGGAAAAGAGAAGGCGACUUCUCCCCAAACUUUGGCCUACUGUUUCCCAACUAGUCUCUCAUUUGUCUGAGUCUUUGCCACGUGGCUUUUCAAGAAUAUGUGAAAUGAGUAAAUUGACUAAUUUACCCCCCUAAAUUUUCUACAACUAUUAUCCUCUCAUGGUACAAUAUUCAAUUAUUUUGAAAGAUAAUUUGUGUGAAUCUUUUUUGUUUUUUUAAGAAAAAUAAGACGUACUAUUAUUUAUAUGGUUUUUCAAAUUUACCAUUAUUGCUCCAAGCUAGUAAAAUAAUUACUCUCCCAUUUGGAUUUACUUAUCUUAAUUUUACGUCUGUUUUUCUUUCAAAAUUCUCUUUUUUUUGACAUUUUUUUAAUGCUAAUUUCUUAUAAUAACUAUGUCUAAGAUUAUAAAUUGAAGAAUAUUUUGAUACAUUUUAUAUACUAAAAAUUACACAAAUACACAACUUAUGUUUUCAAUAUUACAAAAAAUCUCAACUCCCUAAACAUAUUAUAAAAAUUCAACAUAUACACAGAAUGCUAUGUAUAUGUCGGUUAUGUUAUGUAUAUUAAUAGGAAAAGAAUAAAGUAAUUAAAAAAGUGGGAGAAAGUGUAAUUACUUCCAAAAGAGUUGAUAUUUAUGUUAUUUAUACUUUUAUAUAUAUAUAUAUAUAUAUUUUUACUUUCUUAAACAUUAACAAACAACCAAAUCAAAACAUAAAAAAUUUUAAACAAGAUAUUCAAUAGCCUAUAAAAGGUACUUUAAGUAUUUAUGACGUUAAUUAUUUUUUAUAAAGAAGUCAGUAAGAAAAAAUUACUCCAUAAACGGAUAAUAUAAACUAUCUAUAGUAUCCAAUCUAGAUAGUUGGAACUAGUGUCCUAAAAUAAUACUAUCAGAUACACCUUUUUAUGACACUUUAAAGGAGUAACAAGUAAUUUCCUCGUCUGUGAACAAUUUGUCAGUUUGUUUUUUUCUAUAUAUAUUUUUUUUUUUCCAUUUUUGAGUUAAAAUGUUGCAUGUCAUGAUAAAAUAGAGGAUGAGUAAGUAGGGUUUGAAGUAGCUUCUAAGUUUGUCUUACAUUUGCAUGUCCAUCUUGUCUUCCAAACCUGUUAACCUUCGAUAGUUACUUUCCGGUUUCAAUUUAUUUGUCUGAUUUAAAUUUAAAAUAAAAUUAAAAAUAAAAAAGAAUUUUAAAUCCUGCAAUCUUAGCUAUUUAACAAUGUGAAAUGUUCGAACAAAGAGCGUGAAGGAAAAAGACUUUUUUUAAAAAAUAAACUAAAAACGAAAGUAAGAAAAAUAAAUUAAAACGAAAGGAGUAUGAUUUAUGAAGCACCUCCUCUCAAUUAAAUUUUUGGACAUAUUGAGAAGGUAUUUGGUCAUAGAUUUUCAAAUAUUCUUCUGUUUAUUUGAAAUUUAUAAAAUUAAAGUUGAUGACGACUCAAUUAUGAUUAGUUAUACUUUUUACGAAGGAGAGAAAAGAACACGCCAUUUAAAAGUUAUAAAGAUGUAGUUGAAAAACAUAUUUUAAAUAUUUUUUAAAUUUUGGAAUUCCUUUAUAGCCAACCAAACACAUAUUUUAAAAUGAAAUGAAAAAAUAUUGAGGAAAAAAAUGAGUAAUUGAUCAUGACCAAGCGGUUCAUGAGUUUUUUGGUUAUGUCUUUUCUAAAAGGUGUGUAAAAAAACCUUAAUGUAGAUGCUCCAAUAUGGACCAACUGAAGUAUUAGUUGUAAUGAUAACAUAAAUAAUUAGCACUUAAAUUAAAGAAAGAAAAUAAGAGUGAUCAUUACAAACUUUACAGUGUAAAUUUGUAAUGUUGUUUUGUAACAAACCGUAUUGAAAUUAUUAAAUUCUUUGUUCCCACCUUUGCAGCACUAUAGAACAACUAAUUCAAAACAAUAUAAUUAGUAAUAGAGUACUUUGGAUUAUUUUUCAAUUUCUACUUUGUGUUCCAUGAGCAUUUAGUGGUACGUGUAAUUAACAUUGUGCAGUACUAGUACAUGAUAUCGUGAAAGGAUUAAAGAAAGCAUAUUAUAAUAUUCCUCAAGAGUUGUGAAAUUUUAACACCCCACGGGACCAAUAAUUUUACUAGCUUCGUUUUAAUUUAAUCUGUUCAUCUAAUUUUGAUUUGACGUGAAAUUAAAAAAAAUAAAAAAUUUAAAUCAUGAAUCUUAAACAUAUCACGUGAAAAAAUAAAAUUUAAAAAAAAAAAAAAAACACUUUUAAACAAGAUUAAAAAGAAAAAAAACAAGACCAACAAACUGAAAUAGUGGGGGUAGUAGUUCAUACUAAAACUGAGGCAUAAUUUAUAUAAUUAAAAUAUUAGAUUUAAGCUUCGCUGGAAUAAUAAUAAUUGCUAAAACCGAGUUAAUAUAAUAAAGUGUGAUGAUAAUGGUGGUUAGUGAGUUUAGCUGUACACGAGUUGGAUUGAUAGGCAUCCUAUGAUAAUUUGUACUUUCCCUCUAAUCUAUAAAAUUAUUUUAUUAGUAAUUAUUUACUCUAAAAGGAUGAUUCCUCCAUCUAGUGGAUAUAAAUUAAUAAUGAUGAGAUGUUUUAUGAUUGUAAAGUUCAGUAAGAAAGGGUUGCUUUGUUUUGCUACAUUCCAUUAAUGGCGGUCAAAAGUUGAUCCAUAAGUACAUCCAAUAAUAGUAUUAUUUUCCUUGAAAAUAAGAAGAAUAAAAUAACUUUCUACUAGUUCUGUUAAUUUUUUUUUUUUCCAAUAAGAUAAUAUAUUAAUUAAAAUUGAUACGCAUGCACCAUUAGUAUUUUUGAAGGGAAAUUAACAUAACUAAUAUAAUUAUUUGAAUUUGCUAGUUGUCUUUAACAAUGGAUCAAUGUCUCUAAAAAAUAAUCAGUAUUCAAAAGAAACUAGAUAAGGAGGAGACAAGAAGCCAACUUUUGUUACUAUUAGCUCCUUCUUAAUCCACUCGACCUAAUUUUUUUAGAUUUGAAGUAUUUUAAAAUGUUGAUACACAUUUUAUGUUAAUUUUAUAUUUGGAAAAUAUCAAACCCUAAUGACAAUUCAAGUCUAAUUUAUGGUUUUUGAGCUCAUUUUUCAAAAUAAAAUUUCCAACCAUGUUAUGUAUCCAUUUUCACUAGUUGGGAUUUGGGCCAUGACACUUUCAUUUCCCGUUCAAAAAUAUCUAAUAUUAUUACCUGAACAAUGUUCGGUUACACGUUCUUGCAUGUUUUAAUUAAUUUUCCUAUCAAAAAUGUUGUUAAUGAAUUGGGAGUAUAUUGCUCGAAUUAUUCUAACAUGAAACAUCUGCAUUGCAUUCACUGUCAAAUAAACCCACGUAUAUAUUGACAGUGUGUUAAAAAUAUUAGUAUCAUUUUAUGUUACGUAAAUAUCAAUUGUCAAAUAACUUUUUAUAGCAAAUUGACCUAUGGAAAUAUGAUUUACCGUAUCGUUCAAAUUUGGAUGAACUAGGUUGAGAAUAUAUCAUGACAAGUUAAUUGGUAUUGUGCUUGAGAAAGUUUGAAUUAUGUAUAUCGUCUAAAUUAACUCCCAGGAGAAUUUGUCAAAAUCGUGGUCACUAUUUUUUUCUAUUUGAUAUGCUGAAUGCAGACAUAAUAGAAUAAAUUGAUAUUAAUUUUGUUUAGUGAUUAAAUAAAUUGUAAAAGAGUAUCAAACGAACAAAUGAAAAUUGGAUGUAAUCAAGUUUGACUAGUUAGAUACUUUGUUGACUUGAUUGAUUGCUAGGGCAUCUCCUUAAUUUAGGUGUUUAUUUGGUACUCUUAAUAAAAGAUUUUGAUUUUCAUAUAAUCAGUUUUAUUUAUUAAUUCCAUUCUUGUGUAUAGAUUUAUAUCGUUUAUCUUUAUUUCUUGUUCAUUAAAUUGGGGUUUCAAUCACCACAUUUCGAUAUUGUAUUGUGGGUUACUAGUGUUUGAUAAACUGUGGACAUACUAGCUGAUAAAAGAAAUUAACACUACUCCAUAAAAUAUGUCACGAAUCCUACAAUGUUCUUUGAUUUUUAUUUUUAAAAUAAAGUUGAGUAAAGCCAAAAAUUGUGACAGCUGUGGGAUUUGAACCCACGCCCUUUCGGACCAGAGCCUAAAUCUGGCGCCUUAGACCACUCGGCCAAACUGUCUUCGUUGUAUUAUUAUUUGCUUCACAAAUAUUAUUACAUGUAAUAAUUUAUUCUGAACAUAAUUAUCAACUACCAUAGGUCCCAGGUAUUGGUGGCAAUUUGGCGUUGUAAAGUAGGAUAGUAGGAUGUACAUAUCUAAAAACUACUUAAGAAGUGAUUACAAGCACAAUUAUUUAUCUUUAAAAGUUACUAAUGAAAAUGUUCUAUAAGAUUCUCAAAUAAAUAUUACCAGUUCAAUUCUUUUUGGUUCAAGGGAAUAACAGUGAGAAUCUAUAAAAUCCAUUUUCAAUUUACCAUACGUGGGUAACUAUUAUGAUUAUAAUCAGAAAAACGUUUCGGAAAGAAAGUAUUAAUGCCUGAUAUUUGAGGAUUCAUAUCUGAGUUGGUCACGGUAGUUCAAUUAGAAAGACACUCAACCUUGUUUUAUAACCCAAAAUUCACUCAACUUAAGAGUCGUUCACCACAUUCACGUCGAAAUAGCAUGGUUGACGAUGGAUUUACUAUUAAGUAUCACAACGUUAGAAAAAAAGAACAAAAGCUUGAAAUAAAACUAAGCUUUCACAUUACAAACAGGAUUCGCCUUGUCAAAUCCUGAUCCAAAUUUCAACAAAAACAAAUAGCGAAAUAUCCAAACAGUGUCUUAGUUAAGAACAAUAACAUAGCUACUGAGAAGUGAGGACUAAAAUAAUAUAUUACACUUCACAUUGGGGUCCUGGGGACAAUUUUGGUCACCCAAGAAAAACAUAAUUAGAAACAUGUUCUGGAGUUUCCUAUGCCUCAGCAGAAGCUGAUUUGUUGCACUUAGGCAAGCAUUGUGACAAGGUAAAGUUCAGAGGGGGCUCGUAGGAUUGCAAAAAAUCAGGAUCCUGCUCAAGCGCCUCCGCAUAACUUUCAAGGACAGUUACAAUCUCCUCGAAAUGUGGCCUCUUGUGAGGAUUGUUUGCCCAGCACCGUUUAAUGAGUCUCCGAACUGCUGCUGGACAUUCAGCAGGUAUUGGUGGUCUUGCUUUCUGCAAAAUUCCAAUUAUAAGAAAAUGCCAAAAUUUCUUUCUUACAGAGAGCAAUGCAUGAUACUGCAAAAAAUAUUUACGCAAAGUUAUUUGUUCUAAUGUAACUUCACGCGAAAGAAACAGAUUCCUACGCCAAAUACAGUAUGCAUGCAGAAAAGCUAUAAAUAGGCUUAACUUGGCUGAAACUUAAAAACAAUGAUCUGGAAGUCAAACAAAGGCAUAAAAUUGUAUCACCAUCAACCAGCAAUGCAAAAAUCACAACUUCCAACGUGCAUGAGAACCCCCGUAGGAGGAAGAAGAGCAGAUGUCCUAUGCAUAGGACAGUCAAAAGAUCAUAAUUAAAUAUGCACACUCACUACGUAUUGCAAAAAAUUUGAAGUGCACACAUUUUUUUUUUUAAAAAAGAACACAUUUAAAACAGAAAAGAUUAACUACAAAGAUGGGACACAACAGAUCUUAAAGGAAGGGCAGAGGGGCGGUGUCUGAAAGACCAUUAUAAGGCAACAUGAAAUACCCAGAGAGAGACCGAGCUAGUCACAUAAUGGGGUUGCAGCUUCGUUUAGUAGAGUGCAUUAAGCAGCAGCAGGCAGCAGCAAUGUUGGGAAUACUAACUUAAAAUUUUAAAAUCAUCCAUUUAAGUAGUACAGUCGACAAUUCUACUCCAACAUGAAGCCUCAUACUUCAAAUUUUACUUCGGAGCCCGAAACCCAAGGAAACUGAUGGAUUGGUAGACACAGAAUACAGGUGGAACAAACUUCUCUUAUGUUUCACAGGAGACUACAAUGACUUUUACUUAUACAUUUGUCUUACAAAUUAAUACUUCUUCCGGAUCCUCAAUUUCUCUUUCCUGAAAACAACUCACUCAUGAGCCUCACUGUUCUUAUAGGUAUGAACGAAUAGAAACUUCUGCCACUUGGGAGAGUUUCCUAUGGUAAAACAUGGGAUUUGAAACAAGUUUUUGAGUGAUGUUAAAGCAGACUAUGCUGAUCUGCUCACAAUACCUCAGGGAGAGGAUAGAGAUGUCGCUGAUCAAAAGAGCAAAAAGAAAAAGAAAAAAGAAAAAGAGAAGAAUAAAGCAACAUUAAUAUAGUGCCAACAUAUGAAAUAGCUCAAGUUUUGAUGAAGAGAGGAAUCAAGAGGCUCAUCAAUUCUAAAUGCUAAUCACUUGUCGGAAGCUCCAUUUAAGUUUUACAGCCAAACAUUUCUGGAAGAAAAACAAUAUGAUUCUAACACAAUAAGGAAAGAAGCAAAAGAAAAUAGAUGUGUGUGUGUGUGUGGGGGGGGGGGGAGGCUCAUCAAUUCUAAAUGCUAAUCACUUGUCGGAAGCUCCAUUUAAGUUUUACAGCCAAACAUUUCUGGAAGAAAAACAAUAUGAUUCUAACACAAUAAGGAAAGAAGCAAAAGAAAAUAGAUGUGUGUGUGUGUGUGGGGGGAGGGGGAGGAGUAGAUGCGGUUGGGGGAGGCUUUGGAGGAGGUGGUGAGAGGCGUGCCUAGCUCGGAGAAGAUUGUUGUAGCAGGAGAUUUUAACGGGCACAUCGGGGCGCUACCGGGAGGCUUUGGUGAUGUGCAUGGUGGUUUUGGUUUUGGGGAGAGAAAUGAAGAGGGGGCUACCCUAUUGGAGUUUGCNNNNNNNNNNNNNNNNNNNNNNNNNNNNNNNNNNNNNNNNNNNNNNNNNNNNNNNNNNNNNNNNNNNNNNNNNNNNNNNNNNNNNNNNNNNNNNNNNNNNNNNNNNNNNNNNNNNNNNNNNNNNNNNNNNNNNNNNNNNNNNNNNNNNNNNNNNNNNNNNNNNNNNNNNNNNNNNNNNNNNNNNNNNNNNNNNNNNNNNNNNNNNNNNNNNNNNNNNNNNNNNNNNNNNNNNNNNNNNNNNNNNNNNNNNNNNNNNNNNNNNNNNNNNNNNNNNNNNNNNNNNNNNNNNNNNNNNNNNNNNNNNNNNNNNNNNNNNNNNNNNNNNNNNNNNNNNNNNNNNNNNNNNNNNNNNNNNNNNNNNNNNNNNNNNNNNNNNNNNNNNNNNNNNNNNNNNNNNNNNNNNNNNNNNNNNNNNNNNNNNNNNNNNNNNNNNNNNNNNNNNNNNNNNNNNNNNNNNNNNNNNNNNNNNNNNNNNNNNNNNNNNNNNNNNNNNNNNNNNNNNNNNNNNNNNNNNNNNNNNNNNNNNNNNNNNNNNNNNNNNNNNNNNNNNNNNNNNNNNNNNNNNNNNNNNNNNNNNNNNNNNNNNNNNNNNNNNNNNNNNNNNNNNNNNNNNNNNNNNNNNNNNNNNNNNNNNNNNNNNNNNNNNNNNNNNNNNNNNNNNNNNNNNNNNNNNNNNNNNNNNNNNNNNNNNNNNNNNNNNNNNNNNNNNNNNNNNNNNNNNNNNNNNNNNNNNNNNNNNNNNNNNNNNNNNNNNNNNNNNNNNNNNNNNNNNNNNNNNNNNNNNNNNNNNNNNNNNNNNNNNNNNNNNNNNNNNNNNNNNNNNNNNNNNNNNNNNNNNNNNNNNNNNNNNNNNNNNNNNNNNNNNNNNNNNNNNNNNNNNNNNNNNNNNNNNNNNNNNNNNNNNNNNNNNNNNNNNNNNNNNNNNNNNNNNNNNNNNNNNNNNNNNNNNNNNNNNNNNNNNNNNNNNNNNNNNNNNNNNNNNNNNNNNNNNNNNNNNNNNNNNNNNNNNNNNNNNNNNNNNNNNNNNNNNNNNNNNNNNNNNNNNNNNNNNUGAGUGGAGUACCGCUGGCAUAUAUCAGAGCAAUCAAGGAUAUGUAUGAUGGAGCGAAAACGAAGGUGAGGACGGCGGGAGGGGACUCAGAGCAUUUCACGGUCCGGACAGGGUUGCAUCAGGGAUCUACUCUUAGUCCCUUUUUGUUUGCAGUGGUGAUGGAUGUGUUGACGCGGUGAAUUCAAGGGGAGGUGCCGUGGUGUAUGCAUUUUGCAGACGAUGUAGUUUUGAUAGAUGAGACUCGAGGGGGUGUGAGUGACAAAUUAGAGGUGUGGAGGCAAACCCUUGAGUCUAAAGGGUUCAGGGUGAGCAGAAGCAAGACAGAGUAUGUGGAAUGCAAGUUUAAUGACGUGAGGCGGGAGAAUGAGGUAGUAGUGAAGCUAGAAUCACAGGAGGUAGGUAAGAGGGAGAGUUUCAAGUAUCUCGGGUCCGUGAUCCAGAGUAACGGUGAGAUUGACGAGGACGUCUCGCACCGUAUUGGGGCGGGAUGGAUGAAGUGGAAGCUCGCGUCGGGGGUGCUGUGUGAUAAGAAGGNNNNNNNNNNNNNNNNNNNNNNNNNNNNNNNNNNNNNNNNNNNNNNNNNNNNNNNNNNNNNNNNNNNNNNNNNNNNNNNNNNNNNNNNNNNNNNNNNNNNNNNNNNNNNNNNNNNNNNNNNNNNNNNNNNNNNNNNNNNNNNNNNNNNNNNNNNNNNNNNNNNNNNNNNNNNNNNNNNNNNNNNNNNNNNNNNNNNNNNNNNNNNNNNNNNNNNNNNNNNNNNNNNNNNNNNNNNNNNNNNNNNNNNNNNNNNNNNNNNNNNNNNNNNNNNNNNNNNNNNNNNNNNNNNNNNNNNNNNNNNNNNNNNNNNNNNNNNNNNNNNNNNNNNNNNNNNNNNNNNNNNNNNNNNNNNNNNNNNNNNNNNNNNNNNNNNNNNNNNNNNNNNNNNNNNNNNNNNNNNNNNNNNNNNNNNNNNNNNNNNNNNNNNNNNNNNNNNNNNNNNNNNNNNNNNNNNNNNNNNNNNNNNNNNNNNNNNNNNNNNNNNNNNNNNNNNNNNNNNNNNNNNNNNNGUGAGAGGCUAGCGUUGGAUGGUUUUAAGCGGGGUAGGGGUAGGCCGAAGAAGUACUGGGGUGAGGUGAUUAGGCGAGACAUGGAGCAGUUACAGCUCACCGAGGACAUGACCCUAGAUAGGAAGGUCUAGAGGACGCGAAUCAGGGCAGUGGACUAGGGACAGUCUGAGUCGCUAGUAUAGGGAACUACUUGGUGGGGGUUUAUUCCUGUUAGGAGUCCGUGUCCCAUGUUUUAUUAUGAAGCUGUGUGCUUUCCUUUGUUUUAUAUUACUUAUGGGUGCCGUAUUUAUGUUAUGUAAUCUUGUAACCUUGUGCUGUGCUUUACUAUGUGUUUGUGUGGUACCGCGUGUCUCGAGCCGGGGGUCUAUCGGAAACAGCCUUUCUACUUCUUCAGAGGUAGAGGUAUGGACUGCGUACAUCCUACCCCCCAGACCCCACCAGGUGGGAAUACACUGGGUUUGUUGUUGUUGUUGUUGUUGUCUUAGAUAUUUCACGCUGCAAAAGUUUUUACAUGUAUUUCAAGGGUUAUUUAAUAGAAUAGACAUAGAUUUUCUCAAUCUUUCAAUAUGCAAUGAUAAAUGCAACUCAGCAAUAUCUCUUCCUUUUGUAUCUUAGUUGUCUUUCUCAAUUUAUCUUCCAAGCCAGAAAAGAGAACAUUGACUUACUGAAGUGAGUCUCAUGGUAACCACAAUAUAAAUCUAAACAAAACUUAAACAACUCGGUCGUAGCUGUGGUUUCCUCAUCCCACUUAUCAUUAAAGAAAACCGAAACCACCAAAACAGGAAAACACAUGUAAAGUAAAAUGAUACUCCCUCUAGUCCAUAUUAAGUGAAUUGUUGUGGUACGGCACACCCCUUAAAGGACAUAAAUUAAAGGCUACUUUUCGCUAUUAUCCUUUAGAUUAUUCUCAAACUAUUCACUUAGAAAAUGUGAAGUAGUUAAGAACCUCACUAAAAGGAAGGUUAGAUAUGGAAAAAAGUUCCAAGAAUUCUCUUGAACUUUGAAAAAUACAGUUAUUUUGAACUACGAAAAAAGUCCCAACAAUUCACUUAAUAUGGACUAGUUCGGAAUGAGAACGUCACAUAUAGAGAUUCAGUGGACUUAGUAGAACAAAUCAGAUUCAGAGAUGUAUGAAAUAGUAGGCACUUUUAUCUUGACGAAAAGCACUAUGCGAGCAUUGACAGAGAAUAUACCUUCUGGCAGACUGCAAAUGCCGCCUGCUCUGGUGUCAUGUCAUCAAAUGGUGUUAGUGCAGUCAAAAGUUCCCAUAGGACAAUACCAAAACUAUAGACAUCAACUUUCUUAGUGUGGUUCUUUUCCUUGAUCAUUUCUGGUGCCAUCCACCGGUACGUACCGGUGAACCCCUUUGCACUGCCACAUUGAGAUUCUAAACAUGAUAUCCCGAAAUCUGCAACUUUCACACACAUAUCCUCAUCAAGGAGUAGAUUUUCCGACUUCAGAUCUCUGUGAAGUAUCCCUUCAGCAUGAAGAUACUGCAUCCCAUGUGCAAUGUCAAGGGCCAAUUUCAGAACAAGAUUGAGAGGGACCGAGUACGGCUCCUGCUGAUGGAGGUACUUUCUCAGGGAGCCUCCAGGUACAUAUUCCGUGAUAAUGCAAAACACUGGUGGUUUCUUACAUGCUGCAAUAAACUGCAUUUGGGAGGCAGAAGAAAUGGAACAAGUCAAAACAAGUGGCAACCUCAUGCAUUACCAUGAGACAUUUUCACAGAUGAUAACUAUUUAGUGUUUACUAGCAAUGAUAAACCAAAAUAUGUUAACAAAAUCCAAAAUCAACAGUAUGUUAAGAAAUUCCGAGAGAAGUAUUUCGAAGAUGAUAGCUCAACAUGAAAUUCCAGCAGGUGGCACUAUCAUAUAUGUUGACAAACCAAGAUUUGGGAGCUGAUCUGUAGAUAUCAAGUUUGAUAUAAUGCAAAAGACAAAUGUGUUGAGUUCUAGGUUGCUUUUGAUUCGUCAGAAAACCAUCAGUUCGCUGUCUGUCGGAUCCUCCCAAAGUUAUUUAUUUUUGGAGGAUCUGACAACAUAAGUUCCAAAUGACUGCAACUUGAUCAGCCUAUGGGUAGUCAUGUACUUGGGGUUUUUAUUAAAUAAAAAAAGCGGCAACUGCUUGCAUCUUUUAUGCCAAAUUGCAAACUAUGGUAUUGCAACUACUUUAGGAAACAUGUAUGAAGUAGUAAACAUGGAAUCGCUUGCCAUCUAAUAAAAGAUAUACCAUAAGGAAAUGCCUGUUCUUUUCUUUUCAUAUUUUCCUUUAUGAUUCUGCUAGAAAUAUAUUUCCUAAACUAAGACGACAUCCAAUCGUCGCCUACAUAAAAUAAGACUCUAUCUGUCUAAUAGGACUAUAUCUAUCUCAUUUAGACAUGUGGACCUGCCAAAGAACAUAAAACGGCCAUUUCUUGGCAAAGGAAAUAACGCAAUAAGGUCUUCCAGAUGCCACCUUUAAUUGAAUUUCCAUAUUAGUUCCAGUUUCCAUUCCCCAUUCACCUCCAAGAUUUUGCAAUGGUUGAUGGGUCAGGGCCAACUUCUUCAGCUCCAAACCCUUUCAUGCCACGGAUCGUCAAGGCGCAAUAGGGUGAAUAACUCCCUCGGACUACUACUCAAAUGCAGCUAUGCAAUGAACGGUUUUAUGACAUCUUGAGAUCUCAUUAAAAUCAGGAAGCGGAAGAAGGCCCUUGUCAUCAUCGCAACAACAUAUAUUUAUUACUUUGAGAAUCACCAUAAUGGAACCAGACAGUAGUAGUGCCGUGAUGCAGUCCAUCGUGACACUAUCCCAUGGUCGCUCCGCCACUAGUAAGCUACUAACAGUACCGUGCAAUAUCUGGCCUAGUGCAAACCAUGGCGAACGUGAUCAAACUACCAACUGCAUAAGAAUAAGGAACAUGAGACAUUUCCUUCUUCUUUUCAUCAGUUGAUGGACUUGACUUUUUCUUUAGCCUCCCGGCUUCGAGAAUCGAACUUCUGAAAGCCUGUAACCCACUCGACCUAAGAAUCGAUCUCAAGCUGGAUGAGAAGGGAAAUAAAGACUAGUGAGAAUAGCCGCAAUUCUACUAGGCUUACCCUCGGUCCCUUUGGCAAUGUUAUGAGUUUUCCGGAGGGAGACAUAACAUCUUAAAUGAGUUCAAAUUAAUUAACUACAAUCAGAUUACGAACUUGCAGAACUUAAGAAGGAAAAGUCCCUCCACAAGGAAUGCUAAUACAAUCUCUUCCAUUUAACGAAAGGCUAUCCGAUUCUAAAAAGGCUAUUUGCAAGAACGUACUACUUUUGGACCACAUUUCCCUAUACGUACAUUCUGAAACACUUUUGGACCACAUUUCCCUAUCCUCCCUUUCUUUGUCCAAAAAAUACAAUUAAUUUCACAAACUAAGUAAACAUAGAUCAACAAAAAACCAACAGAAAAAAGGUAAACCUUACUUACAGUGAUGAUAUUUGGAUGCUUUAACCUCAGCAACAAAGCAACCUCAGAAGUAAACUGCUUCUCUAAAAAAGUAGCCAAAUCUCCAUCCUCUUCAGGUUGGCUUAUAAGUUUAAUAGCGACAUCUCUAUGCUUAUAAACCCCCCUGUAAAUCCUACUAUGUCUUCCUGAAGCAAAUUUAUUCCCAAUAUAUAACUGUGACAUAUCAGCACUCCAUUCCUCCUCUCCUUCACCCUUUAUGGCCGCACCUGAUGAUACUAUAUACUUGGACCAUGACGCUGCUCGCUUGUACUCUCCUAACGAAAGCCUCCUCUCUAAUUUCCCGUUAUUCGCUAUUUGCUUAAACCAGUUGAAAUUCUUCAUAGCACUAUACCAUCAAAUUCUCCGCCUCAACAACAACAACAAAAAACUCUAGUAUAUAAAAUCCUCAACUUCAGCUACAUUCCAAAGAAUAGCGUUACAUUUUUAAUAUGUGUCAGAAUUUUUGAGAUUGUACUUAACCAGCUGGUAUGAACUUCAAAGUACAACACUAAGAAGCGUGCAAAUGGGGUUAAUUUUGUGUACUAGAAAAGCAGAGGUGGUGGAGAGAAGAAGAGAGUGGCGGAGCAGCUAAGAGUAACGGCGGAGGUGGCGGUGUAUUUGUCUCUCUAAAAUCUCUCUCUUCAUAGAGAAAAAGCAGUGGGUAGUAGUAGUAUAUAGUAGAAUACAAGAGUAGCAACAUUCAUAACGUGGGAAGAUCCACUUCUGAGGAGACACUACGCCUUCUCGUGACAGCGACUCUUAAUAUUCUUCUUACCCAUUUUGCCCUUUCCUUUUCGCUUUAUACCUUUUCUACCCUUUGAUUGCAAUUCUUCACUUGGUAUAUUUAAGGUUUAGUAUUUUUUUUCUUAAAUUAUGUGUCAAGUCAAAUUCUUUUUAAGAGUACCUUUUAUACCAUUUGUCUUUAUCUACUUCUUUUUAUUUUCUCCUUUUUUUAAAUCACAAUAUGAAUUCACUAAAUUUUUCCUUUGUUCUAAGUAUUUCUUCGUUUUAAAAUAGUUGAUACUUUUUCUAAAAAUAUUUGUUUCAAUUUUAUUGUUUUUUUUAUGAAAUUAUGAGGAUUUUAUUAUAUUUUUUCAAUAUUAUUCUUAUCAUUAAAUAACUAAAUAAAGUAUAUAUAUAUACUUAAAUUUAUAUUUUCAAAACAUGAUUAAUGAGGCUAAUUUGAUAAAAUAAAUCUCUAAUAAAUAUUUUAUAAUUUUUUGUUAUGCGUUUUGUCGUUUAUUCCGUCAUAAUAUUUCUUCCAUUGCGUGAUAGUAUUAUCUUUUUUGCGUGAUGAUAUUAAUCUUAGUAAUAUGUUUUUAAAUAACGGAGAUUUACUAAGAAAAAAAGAUUAAAAAAUGUUUUUAAUUAAAAUUAAAAUUAAAAUAUUUAUACCUUUUAUUCCCUUUUGACAUGAAUAUUUCGAUCAUAACUAAAUGGAUUAUAUAUAUUUUAAAUUAUUAAAAAGUACUAUUUCAAUUUAUAUGAUUCGCUUUAUAUCUCAAGUGAAACUAGCUUUCAAUUUACCAAGAAAGUACUUUUAAGUAAUAGGAGGAGCGGGGGUAAAAUGGUAAAAAAAGGAGAGAAGAAAGGGUUCAGGAUAGCACAGAAGCCGGAGGAAGGGAAGGCGGAUCUCGUUGUACGUACGUUAUAAAAGCAAGUGGGACCCACACCCAGAACCUCUUACAGAGUGGGGUGGGGUGUGUGGGGUACAGUUAUAAGGAGACACCAGUUGUGUCGGACAGUGCCGUAUGCUUUUUCCGUAUACGGUCCACUUUCGCUUCUUCACAUCUCGCUACUCUCACUGUUUUUUAGAAUCACAUGAUUCCUCAAUUCCACCCCCACCCCCACCCUCCUCCUCAAAUUUACUCGUUUGUUCAUGAAAUUAUUUUAAAAAAAAAAUAAAAAAUUAUUGCAUUUUAGUAAAAAUAAGAUGUAUUUGAUCAUAAAAUUUCAAAAUUAUAUUUGAAAAAGUUACUUGUUUUCACUGUUUUUAUUUAUAUUUCUCUCACCAAAUUUCAAAAAUAACUUUAAUUUAUGUUCAUGGCCAAAUAUAAGUCCUACUUCAAUUUUUAAAAAUUAUGAUUUUCAUGAUAAAACGAGGCUUUAAUAUAAUGACUUUAACAUAUCACUCUUAUUAAUGGUUAGAAAAACAAUAAAUGAUAUAGUGACUUUAACAUAUCACCCUUAUUGAUGGUUAUUACUAGUAAUAUUUGUUAAGAAAAAUAAUAAUUGAUAUAAUGACUUUAUCAUAUUAUACUUUUAAUUGAUGUUUAUUAAUAGAUAUUAAAAAAUGAUUUUAAGAAUAAUUAAUUAAUAAUAAAAAUAAAAUAUAAAAAACUAUCUUUUCUUAAUUUAUCAAAAAUAAUAAAUAAAAAUAAAAUUAAAAAAAUAAUGACAAAUAAAUCUGAACAAAAAGAACAAAAUCAUUAUGUCUAAGGACACUUGCAAACGGACCCAUAUAUAUAUAUAUAUAUAUAUAUGGUGUGAGAGAUUUUAGUGAAAGGUGUUAAAUAAGCUAAAUUAGAUUGAGUUUAAGUGAGUUCAAGUGAUUUGACUCAAUAGAUAAAUAGAUCAUUAACCCAUCUAAAGAUUAUUUUGACUGAAAUAAAUUGAGCUGAUAAAGAUUAAUACCCGUUCUAACAUGAUUAGAUAUUAUAUGUUUCCACGGAUUAAUUUCCUACAUCUAAUUCUAGUUAAUAUUACUAAAUUGUUUGAAGUGUGUAUUAAAAUUUUUCGUAAUUAAUAUCACGUUUGCUUACACUUUAAUUGUUAUGUAUAUAAUUUAUCAUAUUAAAUACGAUACAAUAUAAGGUAGUAUUAAAUAUAUUCUUAAUGAUCAGUGUGAGAUCAUUCAAAAACAAACUAUGAACUUAGCUCAAAAUAGAUAAUUCAUAUCGUGUUAAGUCUUUGAGCUGUUUUAGCUCGACUUAUAGUUAUUUAAAAAAAAUAAAAAAUUAGGAGCCAUGAUAAAAAGAUAUCUAUGUUUGAUUUCGGCAUCACUAAUAAUUUCGUAUAUAUGUCAGCUUGAUGACAAGUAGUACUAGUUGAAUAUUCAAAAUGAAACAAGUUUGGAAAAGAAUUAGAAGGCAAGAUUAGCUUAUAAUUAGAUAAUUACUUGAAAUUACAGGAAAAAGAGCAGAUACUUUUUGAACUAUAACUUGCGGAAUUAUAUUAAAAUUUGAGCAUAAGAUGACAUACUUAAUUCAUAGUAAAAAGUAAAACCCAAAAACAUACUGCCACACGAAAUAAUCGACAUUAGUAUAUAAUUAACCAUCUAUAAAUAAUAAUAUAGCCAACACCACCGACAAUGUCAUUAGUUAAAUUUUUACUUAGAACAUUAUUUCGCAUUAUCAAAACAAGAAAAAACAAAAAACGAUUCAUAAUAGCCACUUAAAUCUCCAUAAUGCACAAAUGGAUUCUUUCUGUGCUUUGAAUAAUUUGCUUGUGAAACUUAUCUCCUAUAGUAAAAAGGCACUAAGGAGAUUAAAAUUGAUUUAAUGCCUAAAACAUUCUUGAUUAAGAUUAUUGGCUUGUAGAAAGUUAAGGAGAUUAAAGAAUUUGUCAAGCACUUAUUGAUUGAGUUGUUAUAAUUUAAUUGGUGAUUAGUUUCACGAUUUUGUUUCGUACACUAAACUAAUUACUACGCAGAACAACUUGCUGAAUGUAGGCAUAGACAUUUUUUUUAACAUUGAUAAUUGAUAACAUUGAUCAUUCUCUAUUUUUACGCCUUCUACAAUAUUAUGUUUUUCCUUAAUUUUAUCACACACGUUUAAUUUUUCCGUUAACUUGAACUUUCUAAGAGUUUGCUUAUAUAAGUGAUAGCUGUUGGGUUUUUGUCAUGAUUUUCUUACUAUAUUUAAGUUUUACUUUUUCUUAAAAGGAAAAUAAAAGUUACCAUAAUUACUUUUACUUUUCCUGAAAGAAAAAAUGUAAUUUUUUUUCAUAUGUGACUAACCUCAUAAUUACUUUAACUUUUUCUGAAAAAAAAAAUAUAAUUAUUUUUCAUAUUUGGCUAACCUCUUUCUUAGAGAAAAGGUUUUGGACAUCUAUAAAUAGGAUACUCCGUUCUCAUACCAUAACAUAAUAUCAUCUACAAUGUAGUCUUUAAAGUGUCUGUGUUUAGGGGAGAUUUCUCCCAAUAAAUUUUAGGAUUUUUCAAUUUUAUUUUUAAUAUGUAGGCCGUUUGGUCAAACCAUACCCAAUAAUAUAUUUUUAGUUUAAUUUUUCAUUUAUCGUCUUAUAGUUUGCAAACUAAAAGCUUACGCAUGACACCCUCUCGAUUUCGAACCCACCAACAAGUGGUAUCAGAGCCUAUGGUUCAAUGAUCCGAUGGUUCAGAUUGAGGACAUUUUGAGAACAAAGUUGCAAUAAAUUUGAUGAUAAUGAAGAUAUAUGUCCAAAAGCUACAUGUGAAGAUAAUUUUCAAUUAUAUUUUCAACAAUCCUGCUAACACAUAUUUGAAAAUAAAACUCACUUUUAACCCUGCAAAAGGGCUCCAAUAUUUUUAACCCAAAAAGGGCUAAUAUAUUUUUUAACCCCAAAAGCUCCAUUUUUAAACAUGCCAAACAACAGUGAUAUAUGAAGAAUAUAUAUGAAGAACGAAGAUCAUGCACGAGAAGAAGGAUGAUCAAGAAUAUUUUGAAGAAAAUCAAGCCAAAAAGGGGAGAUUUGUUAGGAAUUUUGCCCUGAUUUUCUUACUAUAUUUACGUUUUUACUUUUUUUUUAGAAGAAAAAUAAAAGUUACCAUAAUUACUUUUACUUUUCCUGAAAGAAAAAAUAUAAUUUUUUUUCAUAUUUGGCUAACCUUUUUUUUUGGAGGAAAGAUUUUGGACAUCUAUAAAUAGAAGACAACCUUCUCAUAAUAUGACAUAAUAACAUCCACAAUGUAGUCUUUAAAGUGUCUUCGUUUAGGGAAAUUUCUCCCAAUAAGUUUUAGGAUUUUUCAAUUUUAUUUUUAAUAUGUAGGCCGUUUGGUCAAACCAUAUCCAAUAAUAUAUUUUUAGUUUAAUUUUUCAUGUGUCGCCUGAUUUAUCGUAUUAUAGUUUGCAAAUUAUGACGCUCUCUCGAUUUCGAAUCCAAUAAUAGUAACUAAAAACAUUAGAAAAAACUUUUUUUAAUUAAUACUAGAACAAAUUGUACUUGCUUCAAGAUUUUACUAGGUUAUAUUUGAUGUUGUAAAUAUAUUUUUCUUUCUUGGUUUAGAUGCCACUUCCACAUAAAGAUAAAGAGGAUCAAUAAUGAUAUAUUUGAUUUGAUUGAAGACCAUUUAUAAAUAACUCAUGAAUAUAGCAAUUUAUAUUUUUAAAUUAUUCAACAGUAUUAUUGUUUACAUAUUAUAUAGUUCAACAUCAUAUAAAGUUUUUCAUCAAUGAUCUGUUGUCCAGCGAAGCUAGACCAAGUGUCAUAUCUGAUUUCCUAAUUCAUGUCCUCAUGAUUAUAUGCAUAAUCAAUAACUAAUUAACUAAUUAAUCCCAUUUAUUAGAGGAAUCGUACGGCCAGAUCCUCUUCAUGGUACUGAUUUCGUACCGUAGAGUUUAAUUUAACUGUCGCUAUUAAAUAAAUUUGGCAUGGGGAUAAGAGUCAUUUGAUACUUAACAAAGAAGGUGGGAUUAAUUAAUUUAAUUAAUGGUUUAGUAUAAAGCAAGUGCUGAUUAAUUAAGAACCCCAGUCCCACACACAUAACAAUUUGCAGAGAAAAAACAGUUGGGACAAGCCAUGUGGGUUGAAUGAAUACGGUAAAGGUACGGCCUGGUGGUUUUGUCUGGUUAUGCAACUGCCACAGGGCUUAAUUAGAAUAUUUAUUUGUCUUGUCUAAUGAAGAUUUGGCUAAUCUUGAUUAGUAUUAUAUCUUGGGGAUAAGUGAUUAGUUACAUAGGGAGUAUAAUGCAUUAAAUUUAUGUGAAAUAAGAGAUCGAUGAAAUAUUGGUGGUUGUGACUAGCUAGUAUAGAGGUAGUCUUUUGAGAUAGGGUGGGGGUUGGCGAUGGCGAGCGAGAUUGGAUUCAUGAUUUAAAUUUUAUAAAUUUGAAGUUUAUGAGUAUAUUUUUAGAAUUGCAAAUUCAAGUAUAAAUUUUUACUAUUUUCAUUAAUUUUUUAUUUAUAAAUUAGUGUUGUGCGUUAAAAAAAUACGUGGGGGUGUUCACGUAGUUCCAAGUUUUUGAAGGUUGCAGCAACAUGGCUUGAUGAUAGUAUGGCCCUCCAUCCUUUUCCUAUUACUAGCCUAGCUUUCACGGUGAUGAAUUUAUGACAUAAAGUUGGUGAUUUCAGUUGGUGCAUGUGAUUUUAUAUUACUAGUAUAUUAUAGUAAAUAUACGUGACUAUAGCCAUGUAAUAUAUAUUGAUAGUUGAAGAAAAUUAGAAAGACAUGAUAAGGUGUAGAAAUGCGUGAGGUUUUCUCAUGAAAAUAACAAAACCUACUCCUAACAAGUCGUUAGAUUGAAAUAGUAUACAUCAUACAUAUGUCCACCACCAACAGAUGCAGUUCGAUUCCCCUCAAACAUCCUUGUCAUUUCGCAGAAUAAAAUGAUCUGUAAUCGAGUUUCGUGCUAUCAUAUCUUUCUUCACGGCAAGUAUUGGAAUUCAUGCGUCUUGAAUGUUGGUGGAGAAGAAAACUCGCUUGAAAAGAAAGAUUCUAUUUGAGUCAAUGAUUCAAGUGAAAAGAGCUAGUACUAUCUAGCUUUAUGAUCAUGCCUAUUGCCAAUAAUAGCUUUGGAGAAACAAGCACUCAAGCUUGUUAUUUUAGCUGAGAAUUAAGAUUAGCUAGGAAGCUAGCUAUACGUAAAGAAAAAAGUAGUCUCAAUUAAUGAUAUGAAAUCUUUGAAAUAAAUCGUAUAAAUUAAGUUUAUUCAAAUCCAACAAGUACUAUCACACUGCUUGAGCUGAUAUAGCCAAACACUGGCGCACAAAAUAGGACAGUAUAUCACAUGCACCGAAACCGUUAGAAAAUUAAUAGCUUACUAUAUUAUAGAAUAUGAAGGGAAAAAUCAUAACUUUUCCGCAGUUAAUUAAAAUCAACCUAACUACUCUUCGAAUAGGUGAAGCAAAAUCAUGAGAGCCACUCAAUUAAAAAUACACGAACCAUCUCACAUUUAUGCAAAGUUUAGGAAAGGAUUAUAUUUAUACCUAAACAGAUGUAAUGAAGAGAGUGUAUAUAUCUUAAUGCGCGUAUUAAUGACUGCUUUCACGACUCAAAUUCUUAACAUCUAAGUCAUACAGAGAUAAUUUUACCGUUGUACCAAGGCUACCUUCAUUCAAUAACACUUGAGCCACUCAGCAAUACUUACAAAUUCCCAAAAAAGUAACGCUGUCCAAACAAGUUUUGCUUAACUGGAAGUUGGUUAAAUACUGUUUUUUCUUCUUGCUCAGUUUUAAUUUUUUUUUCUUUCUGUAGUUUUAAGUGUUCUACUAUUAAUUCAUCCCUAAUUUAUGUUUCAUAAAACUCAAAUUUCACAUCUUUGCUGUGCAAAUGCAAACAGCAAAUCCACUAAAUAUUCAAAGUUGUCCAUAAUUAGCCUCUAACGUGUAUUAUAUUCUAAACCACGAAGCUACUCUUGCUUAACCAAGUUCUAUGAAUAAGGACAUGUCAUAAUUAAGGGGAGAUAUUCUUAGAAAGUAAUUAAGUUGAAAUAAUUGGUUCAUUGAAGUCUCGCUAAGACAUCCAAAAGGAAUUAUGCAGGCGAUAAUGACUUAACAUAGGUUUAGGCUUAACAACUUGGUAUAAUACCAAUAACAUUUGGCAAAUUAAUUAGUAAGCUAAAAAAGAUGAUUAAUUAUAUAAAUACCUACUAAUUAGUUGUUAGGUAGUAGAAUAAUUAAUGUUGUUGUCACUUAUGUAGCUCAAAUAAAUGUGAAUGAUGAAGUAACAUGGCUGACGAUGGACAUCACACGUGUGUUUGUUAUAUUUAUGUUCUUACAAAUAUCGGUUCCUUAAUUAUGUUGUAUUCCUUUAAUGGUUUUUCUUAAUUAAACAUCAUUUCAAAAAUCUUUGAAUUAAAUUAGAUUAAGUACUGCAUCCUUUUAAUAUUUAUUACCGGGAUUUUAUAUUACACAAUACCUUUUAGACAAAUUAACAGCACGACAUAUGUUAGCCAUAUCGAGAAAAAAAAAUGAUUUAAGAAACUUGUCCAAGCGCUUCAUACAGUUGUGAUAUGAUUUUUGAAAUCUACGAGUUGUUACAUAUUAAUAUAAAUUUAUUUACUAGUAUAUCAAUUUAAAGUUAGCGAUAAAAACUUAUAAUCUUCAAAUUAUAGAUUUGCCUCUUUUUAGAAGAAUGAAAUCGACAUUUAAUAUGAGUGACACUAACACUGUUAAAAGUUUGUUUCAUUUCAAACAAGUAGGAGGAUAUCACUGGUAGCCUGCAAAGUUUGUGUGUUUAAUUGCAUUGGCCACGUAGGUGCAAUGAAUUAUUUCAACACUCCCACGAAUUAUUUGUCUACUUGUUUAUUUGACCGAAAUUUAAGAAAUAAAGAAAUUUUUUAAAAAAAUAUUGAUCGUAGUACAUUAAAAGAUGCAUGUAGAAUGUAACAAAAUGUUGUUUCGCGGUUUUAAACAUUUGAAAAAUUAGGAGUCUGUACAAUGUAGAUGUCAACAAGUACAAGACGAUAGAAUACAAUGAAUGAAUCUAAUAAUUGAAUGAAUCCUUAAGACUUGGUUAGUCCUCCUUGCUUACAAGAAUGAAGUACCAUUCCCCUUUAAUUUUACCUCAAUACUUUUGAGUUUUAAUCAUCAGAUCUAGGUAAAAAUAUGAGUUCCAGUUACGUGUUAAAAGCUAACUCCACUAGCUUACCAAACUUUUGCCAAUCACACAGAUGGAAGACCCUUAUUAUAUGUUACAUUGUUACUAACAAAUAUAUAAAUAAAUAUUAGCACCGAAACUACAAAUCACAUCCCAUUCAAUGUCAUUUUGCAUCUAAUAGAGGAUUGACUAAUGUUAUUAAGACUUCAAAAACUGACUACCAAAUCUUAAUUGAAAUGUCCUUUUUGUGUUUCUAAGACGAUACUUUAAUUGAUGAUAAGUAAGAAAUUGGACUGGAAAAGGGCGACAACAUCUGACGAACAUUUCUGCCGAAAAAGAACCCUAGCAAUGGUAACGGGAACCUACAACAACAAUGGACAACAAAUGUAAGUUGAUAUCUCACUGCAUACAGAGAUUGCUUGAGAGAACUGUCUGGUUAAUUCUUCCAUAGAAAACUAUAAUCUACUACCUUUAACAUACACCUAUUGUUGAUGGCACGGGCAAAUACCCAGUAAGACUAUUAAUGUGAAAAGAAAAAAGGAGAGUUGUAUAUCUGCCAUUCCCUAGGGAAAACUUUUUCCCAUAUCUCCAAACUAAUGAUUUUGAAAUAUCUGAAAAAAGGACCGGACACAAAUUCUGCAUUUGUUUCUCGUACAUGUAAGGAACAAAUUGUUUUGAGCACCCAGCUUGAAAAUUGUUGCAAGCACCAAGAUUGAGCUCCCUUGGUACACUAGUUAAAGAAUACUUGAAUUAGAGUUGUGCACUUGGUUUUUUUGGGGUGGGGGGUUGGGGGGUACAGGUCUUCACAGCGAUCAUAAGAAGUAUAGAGGUGUUAAAACAACACAAGUACAUGAUGGCAUCAGUCAGGAGGAAAUGCAAUUUACUAAGAUGCUCUCAUCUUUUGUAACUCAUGGUUUCACAUCCCUCCAGAUUUAUGUACAAGAAGACAAUCUUUACAACCAAGAAACUUCAUUUAAUCGGGGGGAGGGAAGAAAAACCUCGUGUCCCCAGAAUUCCUAGCAAGACGAUACAGCAUUAUGAAUGCAAAUAAGAAUAUUGUUUUUUUAGGGGCAUGAGGGUCGGGGCUUAAGUACAUUUCAUUGUAGACAGAGACAUGAUAUCCAUCCAUAACAAAGACUACUAUGAAUCCAGCUAGUUUGACAUGCAUUACCUAAAGAUUACUGCAUCUAUGCAUCCCAAAAAGAAAAAAGAGCAAAAUUACAAUGCAUGUUGUUUCACAGAUUGGAACAAAGAGCAAAGGAUAUAAGGUCCACACCGUGUAAGUUAUGAUAUCAUAUCAACACAGCUGAAUCCCAAACUAGUAGGGUGAGAUACAUGGAUCUUCAAUAUACAUUCUGUUUUGUUCUUUCCUACUCUCUUUAUUUUUAGGAUGUCUGAGCAAACUACAUGGAUAUUCACUAUUCCACUGGGAACCAACUACCUCUUGCCCAAUACAUGUAUGGGGUAAACUAUCCCCACCAAAGCUUGGGGAGAUUGGGAGAAAUCACCUAGCUUUUUGUCUCCCUUGGGAUUUGAACCCUCUAAAGUAUUCACUGAACUCAUUUGUUCCAAUCUCAAAAAUUUGUCUCUCAAGACAAAAUUAAGGGCUCUCCGACACUGAGGUCGUAUGCAUAUUCUACUCAUCAACAAAUCAUUUGAACCAACUAAAAAGACACCUAAACAUGGACCUAAUAAGUGUAGCAACAUGGCAAAGUCUUAGUCCCAAUUAGUUGAUAUCACUUAAAUGUAUCUUUUACCUUUAGUUGUGUCACGUUCUUUGUUAUAGAUUACAUGAGAUUGUAGUUUGGGACAAUUUCCCCCCAUAUUAGUUUAGGUUUACCUCAUCCACUUUUAACAGUUCCAAUCAUUAUAGUGUCACAAUUACAAACCAAAGGCGCUUGUUGUCUAUGCAUACAUGAUCAAACCAACCUCAUGCAACCUUCUUUUAUUUCAUCCUUUGUAUGUAAUACUAAUAGAGGUCUGCAUAGUACAUGUCUAACAUGACCAAACUAUCUUCAUGCAACCUUCUUUUAUUUCCUCCUCUUUGUGCUACUAGUAAUACAAAUCAGAUGUGAUCAUGUUCAUUUAGUCUAUAAUUACAAAAUAAUACCAAAACAAAAGGCAAAAUGCCCCAAUAUAUAACCAAAAAAAAAAAAAAAGGAAUAUAACUUACCAUCUCCCGCCAGUUGAAUUGGCAAGACUUGUUCUUCCUCUGCAGUAGAAUUGUAACCAAAUGACUUAGCAUUUUAACUCGUAAGUACUUCUUUGGGAAAGAACUACAAACACUAAGCAAUCAAUCGCAUUGAGAUCCAACAAUGAAAAAAAAGGUUAGAGAAGAAACAAGCACCCUACCGGAUAUUAUUGUCACAAUAGUCUUCCAAAUAGAACCCCACCAAAGAUAAACACACCAAACCAUUUGUUGGAAACAAAUCUACAUACAAAGCACAAUAGAAUCAAAUAGUAAGGGUUUAAAAGACUAAACAUUAUCAGUCAUAUGAAUCAACUCAUAGGUGCAUUUGAACUGGUUUGGGUGCUAUAACAGUGUCAUGCUAAGUGUGAAUUGCUUGAGAUACUUGCUAAAACUCACUCUGCCACUGAUGACUAAAUGACUAAUAGUCAGUAUGCCAGGUGUUUCACGUUCAUGGUAGAGGACAAGUAGCAGUAAGCCAGUUAAGUGUAAAUUCAUUCAAUAAAUGAACGUCAUCAUGUCUCUAAUUACUUAUUGAUACAUACUUUCUGUUGCAAUCUGCACGAGAUGAUAGGUCAACAGUCCAAAUUUGCCAAGCCAAUUGGCCAGAAGCAGCUGUCAAAAAGGCGUAGUAUGGCCAUCCUGCUCCAGACAAAGAAGAGAUAAACAAAAUUAAACCAAAAGGAACUAUGGUAAAUAAGUAACAAGAGAAAUGAUUGCCCCAAGUCCAUUGUAGAUAAAAUAAAUUAGACAAGGAAAACAGAUACCAAUAUCAGCAUUAACUCCGGAAAGAGCAAGACUGCUGAUGCAUGCUAAUCCAAACCCACUGAUCCAUUCUUUUGUGGAAUCUCCAAAUCUCAAGGCUGUAGAUUUGACACCCACUUUGAGAUCAUCUUCUUUAUCCUGGAUGAACAGUUAUAACAUAUUGACAAGAUCUGCUUUCACAGAAAUUACAACUAUUUCAUACUAGUUUAAUAGGGAACAGAAAUCCAGACUGGUACAUCAGAUAUAUAAGUAAACAUUCAGAGACAUGUUGACAUGCUAUAACGGCUGCAAUCAUCGCGGUACAUGGCUAAUUAUGAUACUGAGAACCUGAGUCUAAAGGCCUAAUCAACAUGGGUCUUUUUCUUAUUUGAACAUUUUUGUGAAGUCUAUAUUUUAUGGCAACAUCAGGUGUUGAUGUUACUAUUACCUAAUAAUGCAUGGGAUUUUCCAACAAAUAUAAAGCAUAGCCUGAAACCACUAGGAUUUUUCCUAAAUAACACCAUUUUAAGGUACUUAAAGAAAAUACAAACAAGGAAACAACCAAUCCCUCUGCUCCAAUAUAUCAUACACUUUCUCCAUUUGCAACAUAUACAAGCAAUCUACAUUAGUAACAUUUAUUUAUUUUUGAUAGAAGUAAUAAUUUUAUUGAUUCUUUAUUGAUUUGGGACACAUUCACAUACACAAGCAAUCUACCCAAAAUUAGAGAACUUUCACAAGAAAGUGAUUUUGUACAAGACACCCAAUUUCCAACAGUAACAUUAUUCUAUACAAAUCGACAAUUUUCAAGAAUUCAAAUUCAUUUAACUAUUCAUAAUUCAAACUUCGUAGAGAUAUUUCUCUAAGAAAAAUGUAUUUUGAACCAUUGCUUUAAACUUCCUUGCACUAUUAUUAAUAUAAUAUACACGUCAAGUAAUAUAUUCAAGUUCGGUGAAAUGCUGUGCAUAUCACCAGAAAGCAUGUCUUGAAGGUGCAGGUUCCUAUAAUACUACUAGAGUAGAACUUCUUUAAUAUAUUGUUAGCCCAAUAUGUCAUAUUUAUGUUAGUAUUUGUUCUGCUAGUAAGUCUCAAACUCAAUAUAGUAUAAGAGAUGGCAGCUAUUUCGAAUGAUUAAGAUGUACCUGAUGUGCAUAAAUUGUGUCAUAUACAAGAGUCCAAAACACACCAGAGGCAUAUAGCGGAAGCACAACCGAAGGAUCAAUACUUCCUUUGAUAGCAGCCCAACCUAACAAAGCUCCCCAGUUGAAAGUUAGACCAAGAAAGGCUUGAGGCUGCACCAACAGAUAUACAUAUCACCCAUCCCAACCAAACAGUUGGCAAGAGAUGUAGCUGAGAAAGGUUGUAUCCUUUGGAGUUGAGGGCAAGGAGAGCGAGAGAGAGUACAAUCACUGAUUUGAGAGAUGCAGCAUGAAGAUUCGGAUACAUUACCCAAAAUGUAAAUCUCUUCAUGAGGGGGUAUGAGAAGACCAGCAACAGGGACGAAGCUCCCAAAAUGCGACUGCAGGGAAANNNNNNNNNNNNNNNNNNNNNNNNNNNNNNNNNNNNNNNNNNNNNNNNNNNNNNNNNNNNNNNNNNNNNNNNNNNNNNNNNNNNNNNNNNNNNNNNNNNNNNNNNNNNNNNNNNNNNNNNNNNNNNNNNNNNNNNNNNNNNNNNNNNNNNNNNNNNNNNNNNNNNNNNNNNNNNNNNNNNNNNNNNNNNNNNNNNNNNNNNNNNNNNNNNNNNNNNNNNNNNNNNNNNNNNNNNNNNNNNNNNNNNNNNNNNNNNNNNNNNNNNNNNNNNNNNNNNNNNNNNNNNNNNNNNNNNNNNNNNNNNNNNNNNNNNNNNNNNNNNNNNNNNNNNNNNNNNNNNNNNNNNNNNNNNNNNNNNNNNNNNNNNNNNNNNNNNNNNNNNNNNNNNNNNNAAAGAGAGGAAUCACUAAUAAUGUAAAACUGACACAUGAAAAGAAACUUUUCCUUCAUUAAAAUGCAAGAAAAGGAUCAUAGACACUCCCGAAUAUCUAGAUAUUGGUAGAUUUAAAAUAAACCAUUCAUGAAAAUUUAAGCAUAGUACGAGACAAAGUGACAAAUCAUAUGUAAUUCAAAUAGGGAUUCCAAUAAAUGUGCAGUCUUUAGCCCCAUAUGUAAUCCAAAUGGGAACUCCAACAAAACACUGCUCUAGUCCCAUAUGUAAUCCAAAUGAGGAUUCCAACAAAACGCUGUUUUAGCCCCAUAUGUCUGCAACUUGUGAAAAUUACUACACGUCUGAUACCUAGAUUUUACCAGAACAAAACUGUGAUAUCGCUCUCAUUAUGGAUUUAAGUAAAAGUCCAAGUUUGAAGUAAGAGAAUUUAACAAGGAGCAGAAUUAUUCAGGUUGGGAAGGGGAAUUUGGGAAAGUGCCAUAAAUGACAAAGUGGAAAAAGAAGAGAAAUGUCCACAAUCUAUGUGUUCAUUGGAGAUAUUUUCAAUAGAUAAACUGAUCCUUGUUCUAAAGGGGAAAUGGGUUACCGCAUUAACAUUAUCAGAGACAACAAAUAUAUACGACUAGUACUCUUUAAAUUUCAAUAAGCUUUUUUUGACUUGCCUAGCAAAAUGACUAAUGUGAUUAAGAAACAUCUGUCCAGCGAGAUGACAUUCACCAGAUCCAUACAGUAUCAUAAUAUCAAAUACAAUUUUCUGACUUCAUGCUUAUUAAGGAAACUAUGCUAACCUCUCCAUAAACCAGAAGAUGAAAGGAAAUCAUAUAAAUUUCUUCAGUUAGAACAGAUAGCCAUUCCCUAGAUCAGCUAAUCAAAUAGAAUGAACUGAUCAAUCAAUAGAUUAAGCAAAAGCUUUCUCUGUAAGGGGAAAAUCUGAGAAAAAACAAAUUAUGUCUAGAAGGAAAGAAAACAAACCUAUAAUUGUUUAACUGCAAAAGAAUCCCAAGGCCUAGUAGCAAUUGGAACCCAAGAAAAGUGAGCCCCUGAAAGGGUGUCAAGACACCACUAGCGACUGGCCUCGACCUUGUUCUUUCUACCUGCACUGCACGAAAGCUCUCAAAUUCACCAAAAUUAGAAUAAAAGACAAACUUGUUAUGCAAAAUCUAAAAUGUAAACCAGCUUUCGGAAAGUCGGGAGGAAAGGACUACAUUGGGGAUGAGAAUAGUCAGGAAUUAAAUUAAACCAAUAUAAGAUAUCAGUGUCAGCAGUCUAGAACUAUUUAACUAGUAUAAAUUUAGAAAAGAUUAUUGAUGAUAACAACAGCUAGAAAACAAAACAGACAUAAGGUAUUAACUUUAAGUUUCAAUUUUCAAGGGCAUCAAAAAUAAAAUCACAUUGCUCCCCAAUUGUGCAGUAAAGAUCCUAAAAGAAACAAUGAAACUAAUAAAAGCGGCUCCUCUUCCAAUGGAACACCAUAAUACACAGGGAAGCACACCACUUUGCUCUCCAAUUAGUUCUGUCUCUCUCUCGUCCAUGAAUGAGACAGUGCAGAAGGAAUUAGCAUGAGGCAUCAACUUCAUUCAGUAACCAAAAUCCUCAUUCUGACUCUGAGUCCAGCUUUUAACUAAUUAAUCAAAUAUCUAUAGAAAACCACUUGCCUGUACAAACAUUCUAGAUAUCCAUACAGCACAAUCACUCUCUAUUACUUUUUCUUAUUCUUUUAUCCAAGACGGUUGAGUAAAGAGCAAACUUUUCUGACUAUGUGUUGAGAGACGAGUCAUAAUGAGUUGGUGAUUUUCCUUUUUAAUGGAACUAACAAAUACUUAAAGCAAUCACUUGGGGUUUACCACACAAAACUAGCCAACACGAAAAUGGAAGAAGAUAAAGAAAUCACUUCAUCUUUGGGGAUAUAUAAGUAUGUAACUCGACUUAAGGAAAUUUAGAAAAUCCUACUCCCUCUGUUCCAAUUCAUGUGAUGUAGUUUGACCGGACGACUUAAAAGGAAACGUUUCAUUCUUUUUGGGACCGACUAAAAAGGAAAGUGCGUCAUAUAAAUUGGUACAGACACAGUACUAGAACUGAAAGGGAAAGCCGAAUCACCUUAGUAUCAAUAUCUCGAUCAAGAAGAUCGUUAAUUGUACAUCCAGCACCUCGCAAAAGCAAAGCCCCACAACCAAAUAACGUCAUCAUCUUCACAUCAGGUAAGCUCCCAGGCGGAGCAGCCAAAGCAAUCGACCUACAUAUAUAGUAAUAAUGAUAACAAACACAAUGAUUGAAAAAAAAUCAGUAGUACAUGAAAUAGAAGGGAAAUUAGGUAGUUACCACAUGCAAGGCCAAGCGAGUAACCAAGUUCCAAUAGGUUUAUCAAGUCGGGCCAGAUGUGCAUAGGGCCUAACUAUUCGGGGCAAAUAAGUAUCAAUCCAUGAUGGCGACGGCGAGGCCGAAGGCGUUUGUUGCUCGUUCUUCUUAUUUUCUUCUGAAUUAGCUAAAGUUGAAAAGUGAAGAAGUUGCCGGAACCCAGAAAGUUCAAUUUUUGAAGGAUGUGAAGUGUAAAAUGUGAGGGAUUUUCCAGAAGAAGAAAAUUGAAAGAGGUUUAUUGAGGGAGAAUAAGGAACGGUGUGGCUAGGGUUUGUUAGGUCGCCGGAGGGGUAAAGAGCAGCGAUACAGCGCCGACGGUACACGUGGCGAGUUUGAGAAAGCCGGCGAUACAGUGCCAUUUUUUGAGGAAUUGAGAUGGCACAAGGGAGGGAAUUUCAACCAACUCAGACUAAAUAGACGGCGUCCGGUAAUUAUUUGGAAGGGGCGAAAUUCAUAUUUCUUCGUAUAAAAAUAGAGUUUUAAAAAUAAUAGUCCCUUAGUCUCAUUUUAUUCAUCCCAAUUACGAUCUCAUUUUAUUCAUCUCAAUUACAUAUUAAUUAAAAAAAUAAUUAAUAAUUAACUACUUUAUCAUAAUACCUUAUAAUGUUUAUAUUUUAAUUUAGAGAAAAAAUAAUUAAUAUUAAGAAUAUAAAAAAAAUAUUUUGUUAUUAAUAAAAAAUCACAAGUAAAAUAAGAAAUUAAAUUAAAAAAUUUAGAACAAGUAAAAUGGGACGGAAGUAUAUUUUUGUGAAAUAGAAAGUACGACUAGUAAUUAAAAGAUUUGAAUCAUCGGUCGUUAGAUAAAUAGAAGCUCCAUAUAGACUAGUGUCGAUUUUGUGAAACACGAAGAGAAUUUUUAGUUACUUAAGAUUGUUUUCAAUGAUCAAUUUUAUUUCUUAAUUUUUCAUGCAGACCUUAAUUUGUAAGAUUAAUUUGGUAUAUAAAAAUCAUUACACUAGCAAUGUAUAAAAUGCAAUCAAUAAUCCCGAUUAAUAAUUAUUAUGAUUUUAUAAUUGAAUCAGUUCAAUAUUAAUUUUUAUAUCAAUACUAUAGUAAGAUCGUAUUUAAAAUUAUGUGGUAAAAAUCAACCUAUGAAUUGAAUGACACAACGUAUUACGAAUUCAUUCAUUCACUCAAAAAUAAAGAUAUUCUUAGCUUGAUAUCAUUAAUUUUGAUGGAUGAAUAAAGAGAUUUCCUUACAUUGAAACAAGAAGGAUGAAAUAUACAAAUUAUUUUUCACUCGUUUACCGGAACCAAUGGCAAAGGAGGGAAUACUUUCCAGCUAAGUCACAUCAAUUGAUCAGAAUAAUAUUGUGAAAAUGUCGCAUAUUUCGGAUUCACGUGUAUAUUUUAUAAAUCGUAUCCUUUGGAAAUGAUAAAAAAGGAAACAUUAUUCAAUUGGAACCUGAGAAUGCGAUCAUCAAUCUAUAGAUUGUACUAAUUCAUUGAACUAAUCUUGGAUUCGAUGAAAAAAAAAUUGCUAAAUUAUUCUUCAUUAUUUCAUAUGUGAUAAUAGGUCAAACUACAACCAAGAAGAAAGGUUUGUAUCUGUUGGUUCAUAGUAAUGAAAGUGUGUUGAAUGAAAAAUGAAGAAAUCAAAGUGGAGGAGAAAAAAUUGAGUUAACACCAAAAAUGAAAAGUGUACUCAAUUUUGAUAAGUUUACUCUUUCUCCCACAUUGGUGGAAGAAGAGAACUUUUUGGUGUUUAUAUUGUGAAACACUUACUUCACAUGGUAAGUGAGGCAAGCAAAUAGAGAUGCCUCGCGCCAUUGUUGUUGUUGCUUGCUCGGCUUUGAAUUUGGAUUGAUCGAUGAGAUCUUUCUUUUUGGACAAAUUUUAUUUGACGAAAAUAAUCCAGAUUGAAUAGAUUUUUGAAAUAAUGUUUCCUGAACUGAUACAUUGGUUCGAACAGAUGCAACUCUUCAACGAAGUGAUGCACUGUUUCGAACCAGUGCACUGUUCACGAAAUAGUGUACUAUUUCAGAAAAUUACUGCAUUGGUUUAAGUGAAUAGACAUGCAUUUUCAGAAAGAGUCACACACCUCUAAUAUGAACCAAUGCCACCUUUUCAAAGGGCAUCUAGUGGCUAUAUAAAUCUGGUUUCAUCCACAGGUUUAUGUGAUAGAAAAUAUAAAAAUUUUCAGAUUACAAAACAUUCUUCUUGUCUAAAAAAUACUCUUAAGUGUGAUCAUUCAAACCGUGAGUGUGUUCAAAGAAUCCGCCUAUUUAAGGUACCGCUAUAGUCGGAUUGAAAGCCAUUUUAUCCUGGGAGGAAGAUUCCAUAACCUCGGGUAUAGUGAGGGGAAUUAUUCCUUAAGAAAAAUCCGUGAAUUCGAACGACUUGGCCUUAAUCAUUUCCGUUUCAUCUUUAUUUUGUGAAAAAAAUAAAUAUACCUCUUGAAAAGGUCAUUUUAAUCUUGUGUUGAGGGUAUUUGAUACUUCAUUGUGUUCUUGUUCAAACUUGGACUCGAGUUGAAGUUGUUAUUACAAUAUAUAGAUUCUGCAUACCCGAAUAUAUUGUGGAAAUAACAGUAUCUACGUAGUGGGGUGUCUUAAAACUGUAUAUUCUAGGAACAUUACCUAAUCGAGACACAACAACUCAACAAGCAAAUAUCUAUCUGUUUGUUCCUUUCACAACUUUGAACACUGAAUACAAAGAUGUGAUCCGCUUCUCAUUUUCUAUUACUGACGUUAACUAUGAAUCUAAUUUUAGUAAACCCAGAAGAACAUUGAGAAUAUGACCUUCUAGCUAAUCGAUAUUGCGAUCCGGUUCAUUUCUUGGGUUCCCUCGCAUUUUAUACAUACUCCAAGAGAGCACGGCGAACUACAUUUGCACAUCUUAUUUAUCUGUAGUAGGGACGAGAAGUUAUGUAGUUGAAUCUAUUUGCUAUUUUUGUACAGAUUCUCAAGCUAGAAAUAUGAGUUUGAGCAGGGAAUCUCAAAUAUACUGUACGAAUAAGUGGAUACAAACUAAUUGCUGGGUCAUGAGGUAUUUCGGUUGAAGAAGUUGUAACCAGAAAUGAGAGCGCUAAAGGCAAAGGCUACAAAAGCCAGGAAGGACACUCCAAUAGAUGCAGAUGCCAUCUCCGUGAACUCAUCUUUUCCCCAAUUUGAUAUCCAGUCAUAUGCCCUCGUUGCAGCUGAAGAAGAUGCUGACAUAAUCAGAUAAGCCAAUAUCUGCGUACAUGCAUGCAAAAGCAAAAAAAUUAAGAGCAAAUCAUACAUAAAAACCACAGGAACAGACCGAAGCAGAGUUGUGAACAUGGUUAAACAGUUUUCAGAACUACCAUUAUGAACUGAGUAAACAAUUCUUAAGGCUAAGUGCAUAUUUUACUUUUGUAGGAGGGUUAGCACAUGUAUCUCCAUUUUCCUUCAUACAUGUUACCUAGCCAGUUUUUCCAGUAAAUCUAAAAUUGUUCAAAAACAAUACUCAUUCGUCUCUCAAAAAACAAAACAUGCUAAAACAUGCUGCAACCCAACAUAUCCUUACAAGGUUUCUCCUAGUUGGAACAGGAGAGUGCACAAGGUCUUGGUCUUAAGUGUUGAAUGAGGUAGCUUUAUGCCUAAAUGAGGCACUGAAAAUUUUGUCAGAAGUAAGAGCUGAAUGUUAUCUGCUAGUUCCUAAUAUCAGAAGUUUUUCUUCAGCACAAACGACAGACAAGAACUUUGGCGGACAAUCUAUAUGUACUAAGAUGUUCCUAAAACCUGGAAUAUUUGAAAGGAUCAAGGAAUGUCAUACUUCUCUAAACAACCAGUUUAACCUUCAAGUGUGGCAGCAUAGUAACAGCCAGUAUAAAAAAAGUAACAUCCGACCCAAGUAUUAAAACCAAUAUAAAACUAGAAAUAUGUGUUAACCAAGUCGACAAUUUCAAAAAACUUUACUUGCCUGAUCCAUAAAGAAAUCAAAAUGAUAUCGCGUGUAGUGAGAGAGAAAGUGUUUCCGACUUGCCAAAUUGUAAAUUAGAUCAAACAUUUGAAAUCCAGAAUAGGCAAAUCCAAUGGCAUUAACAGCAACGCAAUACCUGUGACAUAAUAUGAAAGGUCUAACCAUCACCAAAAGCCACGGGAAGUAGUUCUAGGAAGACGUUAAACAACAAACAGGCAAUGCCAACUGAAGAGUGAAAGAAAGAACAGCAAACCCCGUGCAUCAUCCACAAGUUUUAUAGUAUAACUUCUUUCGGCAGACAGAAAAACAAGCAAAUUGUCUACCGUUAAAAUCAUCAGCCCCACAAGGUUUAGCAUUUAAUGAUGAAUAAGUUGCUCUCAGCUAGUUCUUAUCAUUGGAAAAAUCAUGUAGUAUUAUGUUACAGGACAAGACAAAAUGUAAUGAAUGGGCCUGAACAAAUAUUGACAAAACAGCUCAAUACAAAAUUAAGAGGUUAUGUUUGGGAUCCGGGUUGACAAAAAGCAACUUGUGAGAGCAAAAUAGGCUAUGAAAAUUAUGUUGAAGCCUUUGCUUUAUGUUGUUUCUCGUCUCCCUUCUAAGUUCUAGUAUCUCAUCCCCUUCUUAUUACAUUCUUACUUUGUCGUUUUCUCCUUAGUUUGUGUUGCUAUUACUUUGUUGUUUGCAUCCUAAUUUGUAAUUUGUGUUCAGUGAUUAUAAGAAUUCGAGUUGUUACACAAAACAUGUCCAAAUAACUAAUGCAGAGUACAGUGGUUCCAUGGAUACUCGCAUGAUAGAAAUCGCUCUAAUUUAUAUUGGAUAUUCGUAUUGGUGAAGCAAAAUUCAAGCGCAGUGGCUCUCUUUUGAAAAAAUGCAAAAAAUAUACUCCCUCCGUUUAAAAAAGAAUGACCUACUUUAUUUUUUAAUCCGUUUCAAAAAGAAUGACCCUUCCUUUUUUUGCAAUACUUUAAUUUCAACUUUCCACAUGGCAUGUUUAGGACCACAAGAUUAAAGGACAUUUUGGUAUAUUUGACACAACUUUAAUUUAAGGCCACAAGAUUCAAAAGUAAUCUUUAUUUUCUUAAACUUUGUGUCAAGUUAAAGUAAAUCAUUCCUUUUUAAAAGGAGGAAGUAGUAAUAAAUCAGCCGGCCAAGGAUUUAAUUUGAUAAAAGUAAACCUGAACUCACUACACUUUCUUCUGUUUCAGAACUAAUGAAAUGCAUUGUAAUACAAUGCUAUUGCCUCUUGCUUCAUCCACUAAUAAAUUGGAGAACGAUAAAAACGACAUAUGCAUCCUGUAAUGGCCCUGACCCUCUCCCUAUCAACUUGCACUUUUGGUACAAAAAAAAAGCAGCUGAAGUCUGAAGUCCAUGAAUUGAAGUUAAGUUAUAACUACUUUUUUUCUUAUUAAAAAAAAAGUACUCCUGCGUACUAAAGCUUCCAGUAUGCGCGGAAUUCGGAACCGGACUACAAGAUUCUAUUGUACACAGUCUUACUACCCUGCAAGGUUUGUUUCCACUUCCUGAACCCGUUACCCCAAGGCUCCCCCCCUUCUAUAGCUGCAGCUACUAAAUAGCCAUUGGGAUGAAAUUCUAGUCCACAAGAUUCAUUGAGUGAUCAAUAUUGAAAUCAGUAAAAUAAUUAGAACUACAGAAAGUAGAAUUGAUGGAAAAUUGAAAAACCUGUACUCCUUGUAUCGAUCAAAAGAGUCACCACUCCAACCUUCAGUUUUAUCAGAAGCCAUAACCGAAAACGAAAUCAAGCACAAAACAAACUCACAAACUCUAAACCCUAACGCCACCUUCAAUCCGCUCUUCGUACUCCCCGCCCCCUCUCCUCCCUCCCUUCCUACCUCUCCUCCACCUUCCACGUCACCGCCACCACCAGAAACCGGCCCCACUUUCGUACGAUCCUUAUUCCGCGGCGAAGAAUUCCGAUCCCUGUUUCCGACUUCCGACGUCGGAGGUAAGCUUAAAUUCUCCCAUGAAGGCUUACGCGGCGAUCGGAGAGGGGAGUAGUACUUUUCUACUGAAACGAGGGCUCUUGAGGAAAGGGAUUUGUUAGGGUCAUCGGAGCGUAAGGGUGAGUCGGAACGGAGAGGGGAGUGGAAGGAGUCAGUGUCGGAGAUUACUGAUAUGUUGCUGUUGUUCUGUUUGUGUAAAUUCCGGUGGUUAUUGUUGUGAUUGGAAUUGGAGUUGGAGUUGGAGUUGGAGUUGGAGUUGAAAGUUGAAUUUGAUUUCUCCAUUUUUCUUUUUUUGAGUUUCCUUUCCCCGGGAAAAGUUUGGGGGUUUAUUGAGAGGAGAAAAAAAGGUGGGAAGAUAAUGGAAGUGCUUUUAGCGCGGUUACUUUUGAAAAAGUUUAUUUCUUUCCAUUGUUCUGCCCACUCCAACUCUCUUGUUUGCUAUUGACUAACACUUGUAAAUCAAACAACAAAUAAUUUUUUAUUAUAUUACUUUUUUAAUAUAAUGAAUCUGCUGAUUUAUAAAUAGUAUUCCCUUCAUCUUUUUUACGUGCCACCCUUUUUUUUUUUUUUUUUUGUGUCAAAAUGAAUAUUACUUUAUUAUAAUUAAAGACAUUUUAGCUUUUAAUUUUUUUUUACGUCCUUUUCUUUUUAAAUAUGAAAUUGAGUCAAAGAAUGCCACAUAAAAUUCAACGAAAAGAGUAUUUACUAGUAAAGGUAAAUAGGAUACAACCAGAUGUUAUAUGUUAAAAAUUUGCUGAGGUGGCUAGCAAUGAUCAGCGUGUAAAACUAGCCAUGGUCUGUAUGAAUAUAUCUGACAAGUGAUCAAUAUACAGUCGUAAAUUACAUAUAACAAUAAUAACAUAUCUAAUAUAAUUUCACAUGAUCAUAUAUUCGAUAAGCUAAGACAGAUAGUACCUGAAAUUAGUAGUAAGGUCCUUAAAACGACAUAAAAUUCAUGAUCAGCUAUUUCAUUUUGCUUUUAGCAAGUGUUGCGAAUGCUUUGGUUAAAUCACAAUGCCGUUUGAUUGCAACUCAUAUUAACUCUAACCAAAUAGUCUGUCUAUCCAAUCAUUUAACUAAAAAUGAAUAGUUUAAUCUAAUCGACUAUUUGGUCAUAUAUACUUGGUUGAAGUAUAACCAUGGAAUUUUAGUUUUAUUAUUUGAUCAUGAUUUGGAAAAUUAGGACAAUAUAGUUCUAUUUGAUUGCUAGCAGUGAUAUGUAUCUUGGAACAACAAAUUAAGCAGCUAAUCAUAUUUUUCUAAGGAGCACGUGUGGUAAAGCUGUAUUACAUAAAGAAAACUACUUGGUUAAGAAACAAAGAUCCCACUUUGUUUACUAGAGCAAAAGAGAUGGAGGAUAGUGGUGAGUAGGUAUAUUUUGCCUCAUUAAGUAUAAAGUGAGAGGCUUUACUUUAUAGUAGUACUAUUUAUAUAAUGUCCAAACCUCUAAUCUUUUUUGAGGGUCCAACAAGAAAAAAAGUAAAAGUUGUGUUCAUAUCCUGUACUUGCUUUAAGUCAAAUAUAUCAAAUACACAUCAUGUUUUUACGAAACAAGUCCCUUUCUUCAAUUCAAUUGAUUAAAAGAGCGUUUUUUAAUAGAAUAAGUAAUACGUGUGCUGUUUUAAUUUUUAUGAGUAGUAAGGUGCUCAGUACAUGACUAAGUACGCAAAAAAGAUAUUUGUAUAUAAUACUAAGGGAGAUGAAAGUGGUAGGUGGGGGAGUAGGGGUAAAGACAAAGUUUGUUGGAAGGUAGAAAAGACACAAUAAUGCGAAAUGCAACCUGUGAAAUUUAUUUUCCUACUUUCAUUAGGAAAGUCUCUUUACUUAAUUCUAACAAAUUUAUUUUCUUAAAGCGAAUAUUUUUUAAAUAUUUUAAUCAAUCGAAAAUGAAAAAAUAUCUGGACACACUCUUAUUCUAUAUUUAUCAAUAUAGCCCAGUGCCUCCCGUAAGAUUUUUAGCUUAUGUCAGUCGAUGAAGACAAAAUUCAACAAAUUCUAGAAUAUUUUUGUGGCUUACCAUAUUCCUCAAAUGACUCUUUUUCGAUAGUAAAGUUUAAUUAUCACUUAAGAAAUACCAACUUUGUUCGUUUUGCUUUCAAAAUUCAAUAACAAAAAGAAACUCCAAAAGCUUCCCUAUUCUGAGUAGUGGGAAGGUACAAAAAGAGAAUGCACUAAAUCAAAAACAAAUUAGUAGAGUGCCUUUAUUAACUUUGAACACAGGCCGACGACCAAAUUAAAAGAUGUGCCCUUGAUCUGCCUUCACAAACAUUAUUACCUCUGUCAUUUCCACUCAACUAUUAUAUAUACUACUUAUAAUAUAAUGUCUUGGAGAUGUGCCAUGUAUGACUCCUUUUUUACAUUGUAAUAAUGCUUGGGAAGAACUUAUUUAUUUACUCUUAAUAUGAAGUUAUUUGACUAUUCAAAUAGUUAGUGGACCAUGUUAACGUAUAUGAUGUCUAUAGAUUCAUAGGUUUUCUUCAGUUUCUUCACACAGGUUUUUUUUUUUUUCUUCUUUUCUCUGCAUUGUUUCAAGAACACACAACGAAGUAUGUGACCGAAAUUUUUUCUAUCUGUUCAUUACAGUUUACAGACACUUUUUAUACAUAGAUUCUGUUUAGUUACUGGUUCCGAACACGGUAAUCAACCUGUGUCAUGCAAAGAUCACUUGUGGUACUGAGCUUCGGUGUUGAUCCCAUUGCAUUGCCCAGACAAAAAACUGUAGUUCCACAAGUGGAGUCCGAGGCAAAUUCUAUUCUAUGCAAGCUUCUUUAGGAGAUUUAAGGACUCCAAAACAUUAACACCUAUGCAUCUAAUAGAAGGGUUGAAGAGAUACAAUGCCAGAUUUACAUCGAAACAAUCAGGCCAAAAACAGAUAUUGUUGUCUUCCAUCCGGCACACACUAGUUUUAGCAAUCUAAUUACAGUUAGAAGCCACUACAACACUGGACAUUGGCUAGAGAUCGACAAAAAUUAUCAGUGCCUGCAAAGUUAAGAACUUUUGGACCAGGAAAGAAGCUGCCUAGAACAAAUAGUUACAGCUGUCUUGGAGAAUGUUCCACAAGUACUUCUACACGCUCUACAUUUCCAUGACUGUCAGGUGCUGAUGUUAGGGCUCCGUUCUCAACUGUCGGUUGAGCAGCUGCAGUUACCUCAGUGCUUGGACCAGCAUCCUCUGUACGCACAGGACGGAGAAAACCUUGCAAUCUUAGCAGAUAGCUCUGGCUAGAAGGUUGGGAUCUUACAUACCGGGCUGCUGUCACAACGUUGGUUGAUGGCCUCUCUGGAUCAGCUCGGAUAUUUGAUAAAGCACUGAGAUCAAGAUUUGGAAAAACAGAACAACGGCAUCUAGGGCAUUUCACGUUUAGGCGAAGCCAUUCAUCAAUACAUGCAACAUGGAAGUUGUGAGCACAAGGCAGACCACGGACCUGCAAAAAACGUUUUCUAAUAAGAAGAAUGGCAGCAGGGUCUGAAUAAGGACAGCACGGACAUAACCAGUGUGACAGUUGUGGUGUUGGCUUCUAGCUAACCAACCUCCUCCGACAACACAAGAAAAAGAGGGAAAAUAGAGAGAACAAAUUACAAAACAGGAACAAUGUCCUAAUCCCGCUUAACUAGACCCAAUCACGCUUAACUAGAAUUAGCAUGAAUUUGAUCUCUCGAGCUAUCUUUCAAUAAGUUAAGUAUCUUGAAAGGAUUCCGAGAUAUAAAAUUAUCCGCUUCGCUAAGCAGCAGAAACCUGAAGUCUAUAAAUAGCAGCUAUAACCUUAAAACAACACCAGAAUAAGUCUUUCUCAUUUCUUUCUCUUUCUCAGUAUUUAAGCACAAAAGGGGAAUCCUAAAUUUUCUUCAAUAAUAAUGAGAAGUAAAGUUAACAAAAGAGCAGAUACCUCAUUUCCCACAACAAACUCUUCCAAACAGAUAGGGCACUCACUGCAGUCAGUUGGAACAGCCUUCAUCCUGAACAUUGGAAGUUCUUGAAUGAGUGCCUCCACUGCUUCUCUCUAUGUGCCAAAAAGAAAAUUCACCAGUUAAGACUCUUUUAAUUCACCAGGUGUAGCAAGGGAUUCAUAUUGAGGUGUGCCUUGAGCUGUUGACAAUAAGUUUUCAGUCAUUACCUGAGCAUGGCUCAAAUAAAGUCCUGGAUGGUAUGAUGUAGCAUCUUGGCCCAUCCCUCUCAUCUCCUGCCCAGCAGCUUCAAAUGCCCAAUCUGGCACUCUGAUCAUGUCAACUAACACCUGUAAUAAGAAAAAUUGUAACCUUGUGGAGUAAACCAAAAUAGCUUAUACCAUCAAAACCAAAUUACAUCAUAACAUGAAGCACAGGACUCUAAAAACUUCUUAAAAACUAGAAGUCAUAGAGUGUUUUCACACUAGUGGCCCAAUAAAGGACAACACAUUAACCAUCAUGAUUAUUCCAUUAUAGUUGUUUGACAUCCACUUCUGAUGACACAGAGCAGAUAAGUAACAACAACAUACCCAGUGUAGUCAAAUAGGUGGGGUCUGGCAAGGGUAGAGUGUACUCUACCCGCAGAUCUUACCCCUACCUCGUGGAGGUAGAGAGGUUGCUUCCGGAAUAGUCUCAGUUCAAGUAACGCAACAUCAACGCAGUAUGAAAAAGAAAAGUAUAGAAGUAAGGAGGACAUAGCAAAGAAUAGAUAAAGUAUUAUAUAGCAUUCAGAAAACAAGGAGCAGCAGAUUAGUCGAACCAAAUUAUCGACGGAGAUCACCCAGAGAGAAACUGUUACACAACUCUUACUUCCUAAAAGACGACAAAACAAAAUUAGAUUGUUUGACAGAGAGGAUACAUGCAGCAACUCCAACCACCUUGGAAUUGAAGCAAAGUUGAUUGGUUCAUUGCUUGACGCCAAUAGCAAUAUAUGUGGCACUAUAACACAGAAAAAUAUUGCAUUUAACACACUUUAACUAUACUUCCAAAUUGAUUUUUCUUUUAACCUUUGUGUUUAGGUUGGCCUGCGCGCACCUCGACUAACUCCACGGGUUGCCUGGUAUCUUCCACCAACACAAGUACAAAGUAACUCUGUCCACUAAGACUUGGGCAUAUUAGAAAAAAUCACCUAGUGUUUUGCCCGUCACUGGGAUUACACCCGAGACCUCAUUGUUCUCAACGCACUUCAUAGACAACUAUGCCACCCUUUUGGUGCAAAAAUUGUUACAGAUCAAGUUGUGCAUUAUUGUUCUAUUUUUCAAAAAAGGAACAAGAAGAGCUAGAGUAUUCCUUAUAAAUUCACUUUAGAAAUUAUUGGAGAGCCCUGGAUACUUAAUGAAGUGGUCAUUUAAACCUUAAACCAGACUAUUAGUUGAACUUGUACAUGACAUAUUAAUCAAGAAAAAUCUUGUCCAUCAUGAUUAACAAGAUCAACAAAACCUCAAAAUACCACCGAAAAAGAGAGAUAAAAAGAAACUGAAUAUACUAGUAGAGACAAAUAAGUAUGGAACUUAUCCUCGUGUUUUGGCUUGUUAAGAGAGCUUUCCCGGUGAUGAAGUUAAGACGAUUUACGGAAUUGAAUGGAUGAUAAGCUUUUAAGUAGUUGUUGGUGCCUUUUAUAGAAAAAGAAGUAUCUAAUACUAUAUCCAAUGAGGCUAUAAUGAACAAAACAACAACAACAUACCCAGUAAAAUCCCACAAGAGGCUAUUAUGAAUACAUUUCAAAUAUGAAAACUCAUCAAGGAGUUAUAGUAGUUUACUUGAUUUAUGUUUUAAUUUACGAAUAUGCUUUAAAUAGUUUUUUAUUAAUAUAAUGUUAUUGUAUCAAUUAUUCAUUUGCUUAUUUUUCUAAAUGUCGACACCGCUUACAAAAAAUCCUGCGACGCCACUAUCCAUUAGCACUAAUGUGAGUUGUAUGUAGGAUGAGAAAUAAGAGAGCUUCUGACGAAAAAGAGCAUUAUUUGUACAUUUGUGGAGUAGCCUCUUCUUUUAAUGUUCUCCUGAUGCAUCUAUGACAUUCCUACUUAAAUAAAUGGAUUGAGUAUCCUCCACACUGCACAGAGAAUUGUAUCUUUUUGUAGGAUCUCUACCUUUUGAUAUACUUCUUGAAUACGGAAAUGUCCGAUUAUUAGUAAAGUUACACUUUACUUAAUCAAAAGAAAUAGCAACUUUCUGACUAGCAGUUUGAAAGCAUGACUACUUUAGCAUGGAGAGAUAGCAAAGAUACCAUCAAUUUAAAGUUAUUAUACAAUAAAGGAAACAAAGUCAACGGUCAAAGGAAAUAUAUACAUACAUAUGUCAAAAUACAUUAAAUCAAGUAUAUUUUGGGUUGUAACGCUUACCCCAAAUUCUGAAAUAGGAAUUCCUUGUUGAGCGCGUAAUAAAUGGGCUUGCCUUCUAGCUAACCACUGCAAUAAGAAAUUGAAAAACUUAAGGAAAGUUGUAACACUGAAGUCAAUAAAAUUGCAUAAUUGUCAAUUUGUCAUUUAUUGGAUUAUAUAAAGCCGUUACAGACAAUGUAACGCCAAAACAACAUCGGUAUUGGGGAUGUUCUCCCACCCUCCAAAAUAGAUAAGAAACCAUCACACCUGCCACGAAAAGAAUCAGGAGACCGACAUUCUAUUUUCUGUCCGUUACAGAUAGGUAUCCUUCUUUUAAGUUCCUCUUUUACGGAUUCAUUACUUUUACUCUCUUUUUUCUUUCAAGAGGUGGACACAGG